CAUGAGCUACAUAUUCGGAAUCCAAAAGAACAUUCUUGCUUGAUAUAUCACGAUGAACAAUUCGAGGUGAGCAUUCAUGGUGCAUAUAGCACAAAGCAUUUGCUACAUCUUUAACAACAUUCACCCUCUUAUACCAAUCAAAUGCCAUUGCUUGUCCAUCAUCCUUCAGAGUCUUCUCAACACUGCCAUUCUCCAGGUAUUCACACACCAAAAAUGAGAAUUGUGAAUGUGAACAAAACCCAUAUAACUUUACAAUGUUACGAUGUCGAAUUUCUGUCAAAGCUUGGAUCUCACAUGUGAAAGCUUUCAGAUUGAGCAUCUCUCCAUUUGGAACUGAAUGGAGUUUCUUCACAGCAACAACUUUACCUGCAGGGAGCACUGCUUUGUAAACACAUCCUUGCCCUCCAACACCAAUGAGAUGUUUGUCGUCAAAAUCUUCUGUGGCUUCAAUAAUAUUCUCGAAAACCAUUUUGCCAUCAAAAUUCCAUAUUGCAAAUAUGUUAGGAGUUUGUAUAUUUGUAGCCUGGUCUUCUUUUUUCGUUGAGGUUUGGCAUAAAUGAUACGAGACUCCGAAAGCAAAUAAUGCCAGUAUUAGAAUGCCCAAAGUAAGGGGUAAAAUUACUAUUAUUACUUUCUUCCUCAUAUGAUUAUGAGAUUUCCCACUUGAUGUUGAGCAAGGCUCCAAGCCAGUGACAUUGCCACACAAGCCUUUAUUAUUUCUCAAUGCUUCAAUUUUAGCAUUGUGGAAGGCUAGAAUGUUUGGAAGUGGACCCUCAAACCGGUUGUAUGAUAUAUCAAUAGAUGUCAAGCUCGUCAUAUCAUCGAAGCUAGAGAGAUUACCUGAAAGAUUAUUGUGAGAGAGAUUCAGUGUUUCUAAGCUUUUUAAUUCUCCAAACAUUGAAGGUAUUGUUCCUCUCAAUGAAUUUCCACCAAGAUCAAGACUCGUAAGAAAUUUCAGUUUGCCAAGCUCUGAAGGAAUAUUUCCCUGAAAAUUAUUUUGGCUCAGACUCAUGUUCAAUAAAUUGAGCAAAUUUCCUAGUUGUUUUGGGAUUAAGCAAGACAACUUAUUUGAUCCAAGCUUCAAAAUUUGAAGUUUCUGCAUUGAUGCUAUUUCUUUGGGAACAUUUCCUGUAAGAUUAUUGUUGUCGAGUGAGAGAUCAUAUAUAUAGCCUCCCAGGUAUUUUAGCAUUUGCUGCUGCUAUAAUCAUAUCUUUUAUCUCUCACACUCCAAUAAGAUUACUGCUCUCAUUUAUCAUAUAUAUAGGUGAUACUACGAGGCUGCAAGGACUGAUCUAUUCUAUGGUCUUGUGGUGUUUUUCUUUUUGUUCUAAUGGCUGGUUAUUUGCAUUUCAAUGACAAUAACAUAAAGAAGAAUGGGGUAUUUUGUGAGUAUUCUCGCUCUCUUAAUAUAUGGAGUGCUCUUUUUUCCUAACAUGAUUGACUGGAUUGAUCUCACAUUAAUUGAUGCAUUCUUAGUCUAUUAUUAUGGAUGGGAAAGUCAUGUGGUUGUUUAAGAGUAACACAAAUAUCAAAUUGAAAUAGAUAAAAUCAUAUGAACUUUAAACAGUAAUGAAUUAAUAAUAUAUGAGCAAAGGUCGUCUAAAAUUCAGUUAUUUAAGAUCAGAGCACUUUAGAAGAUAAGACCCCAACAUCGUAGUUCUAAAAAUGCAUUAUUAUGGCGUCAUAUGUAAAUGUGAUUCUCACAAAAUGUUUCUCAUGCUGGUGUUGGUUGUAACAUCCUAUUUUUCGUAAACUAAUUUAAAAAAGAUUGUUAUUUGUAAAUAAAUAGAGUUUUAUAAAAAAUGAUAAGGUUUUCAUAAUUAAAUAAAUAAGGAGAAAUAAUUUUAUUAAUUAAAAUAAUGGUUUAGAGAAAAUUAAAAAGUAUUUUAUUUAUUCAUUUGAUAGUGAAUAAAAUAGAGUUUAUUUUUAUAAAAUAAUAAAAAUAAAUAAAUAAAGUAAAUAAUAGGUUGUGAGUACUUUAGCUAUAAAUAGAGAAAUGUUAGGUCUAGUUUUCAGACUGACGAUAGCUUUUCAACCUUCUCUUUCUCUCAAUUUCGUUUUUCCUUCUCUUUCUCACAAAAUUCUCCCUUUUUCCGCAUACCACAAAACCUAUCUCAGAAAAACGACGAUUUUAGACUUAUUCACCGUUGGAUCGUCGGAAAUUUGAGAACCAGGUUUGCAACUCAAUUCUGAGCAUUCUCAUCGUUGGGAAUUAUGAAAACAUAUCGGAGCUGAGAGUAAUACCCUUCACAUUGUAACUUUUCUUUUCCUGCAAAAACUCAGAGCUAUCUCAGUAAAACUACGAUCUCGAACUUUUUAACCGUUGGGUUGUUUUUCAGAUUUUUAUAUGUGGUUUGCAAUUCAUUUCUGCAUGUUUUCACCGUUGGGAUUUGCAAAAUAAUGUCUGUUGAUGGAGAAAGAUGCAUCGCAUGUAGGACCAUAGAAUGAAGGCUUCAAUCCCUUCUUCUUCUCUCUAACGUUUGGAAACCCUAACAGAGAAACAUGAGGAGGAGCUCUAGAGAGCACCAGAAAUGCCACAAUUGAUAACGGAAAACGCUUGAGCGACUACAUCGAGGUAAUGGAUGAGUUAUUCACAAAUGGGAAUUAGUAAGAACAUGUGUAGGGAUCCUUAGAGUACCAAUUAUAAUGGGUUUUGGGGUGUUUAUGCAAUUUUUAUUUUAUCCUUAUAAUUAUAACUGUGAAUUAUAUAUGUUUGAUGAACUAGUUGAUGUCCCAAUGAAAAACUACUGUGAAAUUAAUGUGUUCUUGUGUUGUGUGUGAACCCUAUAAAUUGAACCUUUGUCUAAUUAGCGUGAAUUGAUAAAAUUAAGUAAAUAGAGGUUUAGCGUAAGAGGGAGUGAGAUAUUGAUUUUGUAUUUUCUCCUUUUCAUGCUUUUUAGUUUUUUUUAUAGUUUAAAAUUAAUAUUAUAUAUGAAAUUGACCAAAGAUUUCUAGUAGACUGUGUGUUGUAUUCUUAGAUAAUAUAUAUAAAUUCAUGUAUACUUAUAUAUACGGGAAAGUGUUCAUAUAAUUAUUUAGAAUUGGUACAUUGAAAGCUUACUUUGAAAUUCAUGACCCAAUAUGAUGUAUGUUGCUGGUUAUAUAUAUAUAAAUUUAGUUAUAUAUUUAUUUAUAUUAAUAUUUUAUGUAAAUAAUACUGUAGUGUUGUUAUAGUGUGAUUCCAAAAAUUAUUCAAGUGUUGGAGUUUGAGAAUAUUAUGGUUAGAUUUGAGGUACAUGUGUAUUGAGAUGCAUGUAUUGAGUUGUGAGUUAUGAAUUAUACAAUAACCCAACCAGUGUUGAUAUUGAGAAAAGUGUUGAUGCGCAAUGUCAAAGAGAAAGUGUAGGUUUCCUAUUUAGGAAUCAGUGUUAAGUUGUAGCGCAAUGUGUUAAACGUGUUUGAAACACAAGUGUGAGGUCGUGGAUAUUGUAUAAUUCACGAGCAAUGUUUAUAAAUGAAAUAUGUGAUGAAUUGUGGAAUAACAUGUUGCUUUGAGAUUAUAGUAUUGUUAUUCAGAUUGAGUAUAAGUACAAAGUUGAACAUGUGUUAAUUUGUGAGAUGCGUGUAAACAUGUGAUGGUGGAUUGUGACACUAUGAUAUGUGAAAUUGUGAAUGAGUUUUGGCUGUGAAUAAGUGUGUGGAUAACACUUGAUGUGACAUUACUUGUAUUGUAAGUUGUGAAUUAUACAAUAAUCCGACUAGUGUUAUCUUGAGAAAAGUGUUGAUGCACAGUGUUAAAGAGAAAGUGUAGGUUUCUUAUUUAGGAACCAGUGUUAAAGAGAAAAUGUAGGUUUUCUAUUUAAGAACCAUUGUUAAAUUAUAGCGCAAUUGUGUUAAACGUGUUUAAAAUACGAGUGUGAGGUCGUGGGUAUUGUAUAAUUCAUGAGCAGUGUCUGCAUGCAAAAAAUUAUUUUAGGGAUUAGACCUGAAUCGGGAGGGAGAGGCUCUGACGGAUUCUUCGGAGUGUAGGCCUUGGGAGUCAUCCGGUUUGAGUGCUCCUUUAAGCCUGUGCCGAUCCCGCAUAGUUAGAGCAUUCUCGCAAAACAACAUGACCCUGAUUGGUUUCCCUAUGAUUUUACUUAGCGAGAGUGACCUGACAUACCCAUUGUGUGGUGUGUCUUGUUAUGUACUCCUAAGCGUCAUAGGGUGGUUUUUCACUGACAUGGUACCACAUUGCAUAUAGGCUUGAGUCUUAGCAUAACUGUUGCAUACGCUUGCUAAUUAUUUAUUAUGAAAUUGAUGUGUUAUUAUGUCUUGAUCAGAGUGUGUGAUUCUUGUGUGAUGUGAUUGAUGAUUGAAAAGUGAAUUUUGAAUGACAAAGUGAUUGAAUUACGUGAGUUAUGUUUAAGUAAGUUUUAUUUUAUUUAUAUGAUAUGUAUAUCUAGUUGUUUUUCUUCUCUAUUAGUUAGGAAUGUGAUAACUCACUCUCCAUGUGUUGUUUGUGUUUGAAUCAUGUGAUGAUAUUGAACUUUGUGUUCGAGAAAAUAGAUGACUGAAUGAAUUGUUUUAAGAAACUUUGUGCUGAAUGACGUGAGGACACAAUGCUCUGAUAAGAUGUGGCAUUGGGGCAUAAUAGUCUAUUUUAUUUUACCUCACUGAUUAAACAAAAUAUAUUUUUUUUUUAAAUUUUGACGGCCUUGUUUUGAGCCGAAUAUAUUUUUAAUAAGUUUUAUUUGGUAAUAGUGAAGUGAAUGUGAACCUUUUACUCACGUUAAUUUGUUUACCAAUAUUUUUAUAUGUUUUAUUUAUUUAUAUAUAUGUCGGGGUAGAGGGUGUCACAUUAGUCAGCAUAACACAUUUUUCUUCUAGAACACAUGAUAUCUAGCCAAUUCUAAAAGUAUGAAACAAUUUUAAAUAGACUUUUGAAGAACCUUAUAGUUAAAUACACUUUGACCAAUUUUAAAGAAUAAAAGUAUGGAACAAUAUAUAAACUCGAGAAUGUCAUUUUGUUAGCCUAUUUUAUUUCCAAAUUAUAAUAUUAAUUCCAAAUUAUACAUAAAAAACCCUAAAAAGCAUGAAAAGGGAAAAAAAUACAAAAUCAGUAUCUCAAUCCCUAUUACAGUAAAUAUUUCCAUAUUUAAUUUCAUCAAUUCACACUAAUUAGAAAAAUACUUAGUUUCUAGGGUUCAUACUAAUACAACACAUCAAUUUCAUAGCAAUUUCACAUUGGAACACUAAUUAGUUUAUGAAACAUAUAUAAUUCACAGUUAUAGUUGUAAACAUAGAAUCAAAAUUUCAUAAACACCCCAAAAUUCAUCUCAAUUGAUCUUCUAAGGAUCCCUACACAUGUUCUCACUACUCUCAAUGGUUAACAAGUUAGGGAUCAUAGUUUUACUAGAAAAGAGAACGAUCUAGAAGGAAGAGAGAGUAUAGAAACAUCUUAAUAUAAGUACUGACCUAAUAUGUUUCUAUUUAUAGCUAAGAUGCCCUGAUCAUAUUAUUUACACUAUUUUUCUUCAUUUUAUUGUUUUAUAAAAAAUGAACUACAUUUUUUUAUUAUGAAAUGAAUAAAUAUAAUAUUCUUUUUAUUUUCUAAAAACACAUUUAUUUUAUUUACCUUAAAAUCAUUAUUUUAAUUAAUAAAACUAUUUCUCCUUAUUUAUUAAAUUAAAAACUUCAUUAUUUUUCUAAAACUUUAUUUAUUUUUAGAUAAAAGACUUUUUAAUUUAUUUAAAAAAACUGAAUGCUAAUGUGACUUUUGAGUAGUUAGUACAAGGCUCUACCCAACAAAGCUAAUAGGUUAAUUAUGUUAUAAAAUAAUUAAUGUCGCUAUAUAUAAUACUAAAUUUUUUAAUGUAUAUUUAAUGUACAUAUAAAUUUAAAUAAUAAAUUUAGUGACAAUUAAUUUUGAUCUAAUAAUUAAUUUUUUUACAUAUAUGAAUUGUAAAUGAAACCUAUGAUUUUUAUUUAAAAUUCAAAAUACAUUAGUAGAUUUAUGUUAAUAAUGUAUUUUUUACAUAUAUAAUUUUUUUUUAUUAAACCUACGAUUUUUAUUUAUAAUUUAUAUAUGUAAACAAAUUAAUUAUUAGAUCAAAAUUAAUUUUCACAAAAUUUAUUAUGUAAAUUUAUAUAUGCAUUAAGUAUACAUGAAAAUUUUUAGUGUUAUCUAUAGCGACAUUAAUUAUUUUAACAUAAUUGACUUAUUAAGUUAGUUGAAUUUUUUAAUUGUAAUUCAUAGCCCAAAUAUAUCAACACACUUUCGUAGGAACUAGGAUUAUAAGAAAUUAAAUGUAGAAACAGUUUUCUUUAAGCUUUCCUUUAUCGUCCCCUUGCAAUUUAUCUUUCUUAGUCUAGUUAGCAGCAGAGUCUAUCAAUCUAAAUGUGGAAUGCUAUUCAGUUAUCUAAGGCUAGACCAGUCUAGAGGAUAAGACCCCAACAUCGUAGUUCUAAAAAUACAUUAUUAUGGGUCAUAUGUAAAGGUGAUUCUCACAAAAUGUUUCUCAUGCUGGUGUAGGGAGCAUAACACAUUUUUCUUCUAGAACACAUGAUAUCUAGGCAAUUCUAUCAUGAGCAUAAUGCUUUACGUAAAACAGCCAAUCAAAAACUCAAGAUAAAAUUUAAAUAAUUUCAGUUCAAGCUUCCUUCUAAGUAGUCAUGCAUUUUCCUUUUCUUUGCUGACUUGUCGUUAAUUUUUAAUUAAUUGAAGGAAAGGGAACAAUUGAUUUGAAUUAUUAUAUUUUCUGAAACAAAAAAUAACACUAUAUUUAAUUUGUUUCCUUUAUUUUGAUAGGAAAAAAAGUAAGGCUUAGAAAUGUUAUCAUUAAUUUGGUUAAGGUAUCCAAAGUUCAGAAACCCAAAAAACUAAAAUAAAAUGACCUACAAUAUAAAAAAAAAAAGAUACAAUACAAAAAUAGAAAAGAACAAUUAAAACUCAAGCAUGUUUAUUAAGCUCAAUCUUUCAGCUAUAUAUAAGUGACAAUGUAGAGCUAAUCCAUUGAAGAUGAGCUUGACAUUACCAGCUCAUUGGCAACCUGCUCCAUGGUAGGGCGAGAUCGUGGACUUUCAGUCAAGCAGGCCAUUGCUAUCUUUGCAAUUGAUGCCACUUCCUUACCUAUUGGCUUUGUUGGAUGAGGGAGACGUUGGUCCAACUUAUCCAUCAAUGCCAUGUGAUCGAGUGUUGAGGCCACAAGAAUAGAUGGAGAUGAUUCCAAUAAAGAAGAUAUAACAUCACCAGGGUGCUUCCCAAUAAGUAUUUCCCAUGCUAGGACCCCAAAACUAUACACGUCACAUUUCUCAUUCACCUCCAUUGUGUAUGCAAGUUCUGUAACAAAAUAAAAGUGCUAUCAUACGCAAAAUAGGAUUCUAGUGACAAAGGCAAAAUGUGGACAAUUGUGACUAAGAAAGGCAAACUAAAAAAUAUGAUAUACUCAAUUUAGUAUAAAGAAAGGUAAUUAACCUGGAGCAGCAUAUCCAAAGGUUCCUACGAAUGAGGUCCAAUUGGAUGAAUCUGGAUUAAGAAACUUGGCUGUUCCAAAGUCUGAGACAUGAGCUACAUAUUCGGAAUCCAAAAGAACAUUCUUGCUUGAUAUAUCACGAUGAACAAUUCGAGGUGAACAUUCAUGGUGCAUAUAGCACAGAGCAUUUGCUACAUCUUUAACAACAUUCACCCUCUUAUACCAAUCAAAUGCCAUUGCUUGUCCAUCAUCCUUCAGAGUCUUCUCAACACUGCCAUUCUCCAGGAAUUCACACACCAAAAAUGAGAAUUGUGAAUGUGAACAAAACCCAUAUAACUUUACAAUGUUACGAUGUCGAAUUUCUGUCAAAGCUUGGAUCUCACAUGUGAAAGCUUUCAGAUUGAGCAUCUCUCCAUUUGGAACUGAAUGGAGUUUCUUCACAGCAACAACUUGACCUGUAGGCAGCACUGCUUUGUAAACACAUCCUUGCCCUCCAACACCAAUGAGAUGUUUGUCGUCAAAAUCUUCUGUGGCUUCAAUAAUAUUCUCGAAUACCAUUUUGCCAUCAAAACUCCAUAUUGCAAAUAUGUUAGGAGUUUGUAUACUUGUAGCCUGGUCUUCUUUGUUCGUUGAAGUUUGGCAUAAAUGAUACGAGACUCCGAAAGCAAAUAAUGCCAGUAUUAGAAUGCCCAAAGUAGGGGGUAAAAUGACUAUCAUUACUUUCUUCCUCAUAUGAUUAUGAGAUUUCCCACUUGAUGUUGAGCAAGGCUCCAAGCCAGUGACAUUUCCACACAAGCCUUNNNNNNNNNNNNNNNNNNNNNNNNNNNNNNNNNNNNNNNNNNNNNNNNNNNNNNNNNNNNNNNNNNNNNNNNNNNNNNNNNNNNNNNNNNNNNNNNNNNNNNNNNNNNNNNNNNNNNNNNNNNNNNNNNNNNNNNNNNNNNNNNNNNNNNNNNNNNNNNNNNNNAAGCUUUUUUAUUCUCCAAACAUUGAAGGUAUUGUUCCUCUCAAAGAAUUUCCACCAAGAUCAAGACUGGUAAGAAAUUUCAGUUUGCCAAGCUCUGAAGGAAUAUUUCCCUGAAAAUUAUUUUGGCUCAGACUCAUGUUCAAUAAAUUGAGCAAAUUUCCUAGUUGUAUUGGGAUUAAGCCAGACAACUUAUUUGAUCCAAGCUUCAAAAUUUGAAGUUUCUGCAUUGAUGCUAUUUCUUUGGGAACAUUUCCUGUAAGAUUAUUGUUGUCGAGUGAGAGAUCAAACAAGGGCAACUUACAUAAAUCAUGUGGAAUGUUUCCUGUAAGAUGGUUUGAGGACAGGUGAAGUCGUUGUAAUUUGGUUGCCCCAGCUAGUUCUGGUGGUAUCAAACCUGAUAAAUUAUUGUUGGAGAUCAUGAGGCUUGUGAGGCUACGAAACUUUCCCCAGUUAGGUGAAAGUUGACCAUAAAAGUGAUUGUCACUCAAUUCGAUGUAGUCCAAAUUUGGAAGUACACCAAAAGCAUUUGUUAUAUCCCCCGUUAGCUGGUUUUGCUGAAGCCCGACUCUUAUAAGGCUGGAGCAAUUCUUCAAACUCACUGAAAUUGGACCUUUGAAGUUGUUAUUAGAAGCGGAAAAAAUUUUCAACGUUCCGCCAAUGCAAAUGUUUUGGGGUAAAUGGCCUAUAAAAUUAUUGUCAUCUAGAUGCAAACCUUCCAGAGCAGUAAGCAUGCUCAUUUCUAUUGGAAUAUUGCCACCAAGUUCAUUUCCAAAAAAUAGUAAUGCCCUGACAUUUGAUAAAUUUCCAAUAGUGGAAGGAAUUGAUCCAGUGAGUUCAUUAAAGUAUAUAGAUAAUACACUAAGCUUUGACAAAUUUCCAAUGGUGAAAGGAAUGGAUUCAGAGAGUUUAUUUUCAUCAAGGAACAAGGAGUCCAAAUUGACCAAGUUGCCUAUGGAAGCUGGGAUUGCUCCAGAGAGUUCAUUAGAGGAUAUAGAUAAUACACUAAGCUUUGACAAAUUUCCAAUGGUGAAAGGAAUGGACCCAAAGAGUUUAUUUUCAUCAAGGAGCAUGAAGUUCAAAUUGACCAAGUUGCCUAUGGAAGUUGGGAUUGGUCCAGUGAGUUCAUUCAAGGAUAUAUAUAAUACACUAAGCUUUGACAAAUUUCCAAUGGUGAAAGGUAUGGACCCAGAGAGUUUAUUUUCAUGAAGACGCAUGGAGUCCAAAUUGACCAAGUUGCCUAUGGAAGCUGGGAUUGGUCCAGUGAGUUCAUUAAAGGAUAUAGAUAAUACACUAAGCUUUGACAAAUUUCCAAUGGUGAAAGGAAUGGUACCAGAGAGAUCAUUGUCAGAAAGAUUAAGAAACAAGAGUUUGGAGAGAUUACCAAUGGUAUUGGGAAUGCUACCAAAGAGGUUAUUAGUGGACAAGUCAAGAGUGUUGAGAUUGGAUAAGGAACCAAUUUGAGGAGGAAUAGUUCCAUUCAAGGAGUUGUGACUCAUAUUUAGAGUGAGAAUGUUUGGAAGUAAUGAGAAGUUGAGACUUUGAAGCGUACCUCUUAAUCCAACAUUUGUAAGAUUUAUGUUGGAAACAGAAUUGAACUCAUCACAUGCAAUUCCGAACCAAUUGCAAGGAUUAUUGCCACUCCAUGAAGAGAGAGAAGCAUGACUUUGGUUGUCAAGGCUGGAUUUCCACUUCAACAAAGCAUUUGCUUCUGAAGCAAUCUCAGAAGAAGCAGCAAAUGCACAGAAGUACAUCACAAGAAGCAGCAAAAGUGGUUGGAGCUUCAUGGACAGAAGCGUUGGAAAUAUGAACACCAUGAGUAAAUUUUGAGGAAGAAUUCAAUCACAGAUUGUCUGAUACAAUCAAAUGCAGGAGAAGUACUUACAAGCAAUUCAUGGGAUGUGCAUACUUAUAUGCAAAACAUCAUGAAACACGAACCAGAGUCAAGAGAUAUGCACACUUAUAUCAAACAAGACAGCCGAUCAGUGGGGUCAAUAUAAGUCUAGCUUGGUAUGUUGCACGCGUUUACUUUACAACACUGUUUCUGUUAGCAAGCAGAAAUUUCCAUAGUGUUAUGCAUGGGUAAAUUUCAAACUUCCACAUAACGAUUUCUGUAACACUGUAUUUUUUUAACAACUGUUUUAAUUAGAAUAUAAAAGAAAUUUAAUUUAAUUUAUGCUAUAAAUCAUUGAAUUUUAAAAAUAUAAUAAGUUUAAUUAUGUGUUUUAGAUGAGCUUAGUUGUUUCUUUUUUAGAUGAGUGUAAUUAAGAGUUACACUUUUGAUACAAGGGGAGGGGAGUUAUUAUAUACCCAUGUAAAUUGUUAUUGGUUCCUAGCUAUCAAGAGGUUGAGAGUUUUUUAUUUAUUUUAAAAUUACUCUCGUUGAAUAAAAUAUACAUGAUGAUUGCAUUAUGCAUUGUUUUCACACCAUUUUGUUGCAACGGAUAUGUUGUACAAUAAUUUGUAUAUGUCUAUUAUGAUUGUGAAGUCCUUGUGAUCGAUCAUCUUUUGAAUUUUACUAUUAAAAAAAAUAUGACUUCACACUAUCAUUAUCUCAGCACCAAUCAAGAAAUUUAUAACAUUAUAAAAAUAUAUUAAUAAUAUUUAUUUAUAUUUGAUGAUAUUUUUUAAAUGUUACCAAAAAAAAUUAGUAAUAUUUUACUAAAUGUUAAAUGAAAAAUAUUUCUAACUUUCACUGUGUAGUAGUGAAUUAUAUUUUAGAUUAUUAUAAUUAACAGUAUAACUUAUACAAUUAAUUAUUAUGAUUAUAAAUAAAUAUUAUAUAUUUAAAAUAUAUUUUAAUUAUUAUUUUAGCAAAUUAGUAUUCUAAAAGAAUAAUUACAAAUGAUAUACGUAUAUAUAAGUAAAAUCAAAUUAAAUACAAAUAUUAAGGUAGUAUUUAGUUAGUGUUAUUAAUCAUAUUUAUAUAAAUAUUUAAAUAAUCUAAUAUUUUUCUAAUAUAAAAUUCAUUAUUAUAUUUGUUAAAAAUCAUACAUGAUAAAUUUUAAUAACAUUUUUAAAUAUAAUAUGUUGAUUGAAUUUAAUAAAUGUAAUGCUAAUAUAUGGAUAUUAGACAUUCAAAUUUUUAAAUGAAUUUAUUUAUAUAAAAAUUAUUAUCAAAUAAAAUGAAAUCACUAAAAUAUACAUUUUAAAAUCUUAUAAACAAUAUUUUUUUAGUAAGUUGCGUUAAUCCUAAACGUUUAUAUCUAGGAGAAUGAUUUAUUUGAUAGAAAAACUCAUAUUUAAUUUCUUUCGUGUGUAAAUUUUUUUAUUUCAAUGACAAACAUCAAUAAUAAAUAAAACUAGUCUUGGACGGAGUAUGUAGAGGAAAUUCGUGUUCUUUGAACGGAUACAAAUAGUAUAUUAAAUUAUAUAUUUUAUCAUAAGGGAUGAGCAGGAAAGUGCAAUACUUCUGAUCUAUUAAAAGAGAAAAGUAUAAUGGAUAUGUUGAAAUACAGUCUAAAAGAUCUUUUAUUAUUUUAUCGACAGGAAAAUAAUGAUUGUGAAAUAAUUCGUGUUCUUUGGUUAUUAAUUUUUUUUUAAUUUUUAUAAAAGUAAAAAUUGUCAACAGAUCUAUUUUUGAAGUUCAAAUUUUCAAGCGUAAAAAUAAGGAUAAAAAAAAGAAUUGAAAUCAAUGAAAUGGAUCAUGCGUAAAAUUAAACAUAUGAAUAUUUACUUAAAUUACAUUAGUCAACAUUUUAAAUAUCAUGUAUGUUUCUCAUUUAAAAUAAAUUAUUUCUCUUAAAAUUUAUUUUAGAUCUCUCUUGUUAUUGGACCGACUCAUAUCUCUACAUUUUCUACCACGGCAAAGCUAGCUCCAGCCAUUGCCAAAUGAUUUGAAGUCUCACCUCUUAAAUGAAUAGAAACUUUUCGCCAGAAUUAAACUCCAUAUACUUUCUGGAAGUCUUUUGUACAGAGUCAAUUUCCAAAAUGGUGAUGUCUAGUUAAACGCUAAUAGUAGUACUAUGUAUGCUGUGGAUCCUGUCAUGUAUGUCACAUUCAUUGACUUUACAUAAAAAAGAGAGAGAAAGUUAAUUAACAUUAUUUUACUGUCUUUUAUUAUAUAUUACAUCUGGAGAAUUUGCUGGUGGAUGCUGAUGGAGAGGUUAAAGUAUCAUACUCUGCAUUGAGUGUUCUGCCUCAACAAUAAUUUGGAUCUUCCAAAUUAUUCCUGCAAGAGGUCUACACCUAUUUUUUUAUGAUAUUUGGAUAAAAAGAUUCAUUCUCUUCAUAAAAAGAGGAGGUAGAAUCAAUAAAGAGUGAUUUUUCUAUUCAUCCCUCGAGUUGAAUAACUCAUUCAAGAAAUGUUUUUGAUCCAAUCCAGAGAAAUCAAUAGAAAAAGUAAAUUUCUUAUGAUACACCAGAUCCCACUGGGUUAUUGAUAGAGUUAAUAGAUUUGUCAUUUCUUGAAAUAUCUCUUCUGAUUCAAAAUUGUGAUGUAACGUGUAUCUCCCAAUGUUUCGGUCAUGAAAUAGAUGAAAUAAACCCCAAAAUGAAUUUUUGUUCAACAAUAAAAUUUUAUUGGGACUAUCCAGUUCACCCUUUGAAACCAGCAUGCUAGCUAAUUUUUCAAAAAAUUAAAAGGAUAUUUAUGUCCAAUUUGGCAAGUUAGAGGCUGCUCCUCACAAGAUAUGUUUCGCAACAUUAUAUGGCCUCACAGGUAUUUUAGCAUUUGCUGCUGCUAUAAUCAUAUCUUUUAUCUCUCACACUCCAAUAAGAUUACUGCUUUCAUUUAUCAUCACUACUAAAAUAAUAAUAUUCUACAACGCGCAUUCAACAUCGGUGGUUCCAAAAAUGAUGUUAUUUUAGAGGCAAUGGCAUUUUAGUAAAUAAGUGAUUUAUUUUAACAACGUUUUUGCAAGAAAUGAUGUUAUUUGCGCGUUACAACAUCGUUUUUGGAACACCGUUGUUGAACGGCAAGUAACAUGAAUUGUGAACAACAUCGUUUUUUAACAAAAACGAUGUAACUUAUUCUAUUCAACAACGUUUUUAAACAAACCCGUUGUGGUCUUGGGUUUUUUUUGCUUUUUAUUUCUAUCUGAACUUAUUCUCGCUUCUCUCUCUCUUUCGGGCAAAGAACUCCUCAAUGAGGCCUUUAGGUCUUCUCCACACGUUUCUCUCUCCUUCACCCUCGAUCCCUUCCUUUUUCCUCAAAUUCCAUGCCUCCUUCUCCUUGAAGACCCCGACCUCCACCUUUCGCGCCUUCUCCGACGCCGAGGAGGACGAAGAAGACGAUGAAGAAGAAGACCAAGACUAAGACAACGUUUCUACCGACGAAUACGACGACGUUUCGGGUGAAGCUUCCAACGAGGCUGACGUAUUCCCUCAAAUUCGACGUCGAUGAGCUCGCUUCAGUCUACGACUUCCGCAUCGACAAGUUUCAGGUUUGUUCACCGUUUGUUUUUGUUUCUCUUCGUUUUCGAGAAAUUCGAAACUUAUGUGUUGAGGUCUUGAUUUGUUUUUGUUGAGUUUCAGCGGCAAGCAAUACUGGCUUUUUUGAGAGGCUUCUCGGUGGUGGUUUCCGCUCCGACGAGCAGCAGGAAGACACUGAUUGGGGAGGCCGCGGCAGAAUGUGAGUACUUAUUGACGACUGCUUUUCAUGCAGUGUUGGUAAUGUUUCUUCUAGAAGUGGACUUGUAAAUGUUGAUGUGAUUGUUUUGGACGAAGUUGAUUACCUUAGUGACAUAUCUCGUGGUACAGUCUAGGAGGAGAUUGUAAGCAUUAUUUUUUGACUUUGCAUGUUACAUAGCUUGCUCAACUUCUCCUAUUUGUUCAUGCAUAUUAGGACAAUUUCUGCAGGUUAUUUAUUGAUAAACUUCAUUCCCUAAUCUAGGCCCCCUGCCCCUGCCUCAUGGAAUUUAUAGUAUUUCUGCAGUCUAGGAUGUAUGCUUUACUAUAGAUGUAAACGGCCUUCUAUCUGUUUCUGUGGAAGAAACAACCACUGGUUAUAGGAAUGAGAUUACCAUAACUAAUGACCAAAAAAGGCUUUCAGCUGAGGAGAUUAUAAGAAUGAUUCAUGAAGCUUAGAAUUAUCAGGUUGAUGAUAGGAAGUUCAUGAAGAAGGCUAAUACAAUGAAUGCUUUGGAUGACUAUGUUUACAAGAUGAGGAAUGCAUUGAAUAAUAAGAAUAUCAGUUCAAAGCUUUGUUUACAAGAAAGGGAGAAAAUCAAAUCUGUAAUUUCGAAGGUGACAGAUUUGCUAGAGGGUGAUAAUCAGCCGUAUGAAAUAGAGGUGUUUGAGGAUCAUCUGAAUGAGCUUGUGAACCUCUUUGAUCGUGUCAUUGGCAAGUUUGCUUAGAUGUUUUUUAAGUUUUUAUUUUUUGCAAUGCUGAGAUCUGUCAUUUUGUUUGUAUUGAAUGCAAACUUUUCUAAUUUAUGAUAUUGUAGUUUAAUAUAUUUGUGCCUGACAUGUUUUAAAUUGUUAUUAUUGUUGACUUUGGCUUUUGUUAUUGUUAUUGAAUUCAUCUUUGGAUCAGUUCACAAGAACAAGCUUUGCUAUGCGUUGUUCAUCUUUCUCUGAAUGGAUCUCAGUCAAUAUUGUUGUGGAAAGAAACAUACGUUCAAUAUUGUUUCUUGUUUGUGCAAUUAUUUGUGGCUAUAUAUAUCAGGUACAAGUUUUUGCUGACAUCAUAAUCAUGUUGGAAAGUUAUUCAGGAGUCAUUAACUUGCAAUUUUCUGUGCUUGGCCAAUUGUUGUUGCAGUGUCCACCAUUUCGGUUAAGCUACCAGGGGCUGGGAGAGCCCUUGUGCUUUGCAGCAUUUGGGCCUUUUGCCACUUGUGCUUUUUAUUUAUUACAUGGCAGUUCAAGGUUACCUCAGCUACCUAAUUAGAAUGUCUUAUAAUAUUUGAUUUUUCAUGGUUUUGAUAUGGAAUGAUUUGGACAGUGUGAUGAACCAUUUCCCCUUAAGUGGAACGGUUCUUUCAGCAUCAAUUCUUGUUGGCUUCACAACAUCUCUUAUCUUGUUUUGCAGUCAUUUCCAUCAGGUAUAUUCAUUUUUUGAAUUUUAAUUUCCAAUUUUUAGGAACUUUGAUUAGGUGACAUGUUUUUAUUCACAACACAGGUGGAAGGAGACAGGGAGGUUGGGAAAAUGUCACCUUUGGUAACUGCACUUUCUUUAAAUUGAACUUUUUUCUAAUCCAUGUUAAUGCUGUGAAUCUACCUAUGUUACUUAUUUUCCAUUUCUCUUUCAGGUUAGACUUGGCACUAAAAAAGGUGCAGAGGUAGUGAAAGGGGCAAUCUUUAUGCUCUAUGCUCUUUUGGUUGCUUUUGGUCUAAUCAAGGCACUUCCUCUCACUUGUAUAGUAUGUACUUCUAAACUCAACCAAUUUUUUGCAUCUCAUUCUUUAUUUUUUUUCCCUUCUUUAAAGGUGUAGCUGUUAUUUUGGACCAUGUGCUCAUGAUUUAUUCUUUUGGUUAUGAAUAUGAUUGUGCUAGUUCCUUUGUGCAUUGACCUUGCCGAUGGGAAACCUAGUAGUUAGAUUUGUCGAAGACAAUUACAAGGCAAGUGAAUUUUUCUUAUAGACUUGUCUGUUGGUGUAUUUCUUAUAGUUUGCUAUUAAACCUAAGUUGUAUUCUCACAUAACAAAAAUAAGAUUUUCAUGGCUAAGUACUUCUGUGUGAGGCUUCAUGCAUUGUUUGGAGUUACACUGGCUUUAGGACUAGUGCUGGCUCGAAAGAGUGUGGAUGACCCUGGAAGACCCCCUGGCAUUGUUCUUAGUGCUGCCACUUCUUUUUGGCUUCCUGUUCCUCCUAAACGAGUCUUUGACUUCCUCCGUGAUGAAAACUCUAGGAAUGAGGUAUGUGCAAAAAUUCCAAAAAGCUAAGUUUAAUAACGUUUUAGUGUGAAUUAUUGUGUGUUCAUAGACCCAUUAUUAAUUAAUAGACAACCUCAUUUGGAUUUAUUAAUUAAUAGACAACCGCAUACAAUAAUAAUAAUAUUGUUUAAUUCUAAAUCAUUACUAUACAAAAUAAUGUGUUUUCGCAAGUAAAAUCAUAUAAAAGGAAAUGUGAUUUUCAAGAAAUGUACCAGAAGUACUCAUUUGUUCGGAAGGAUAAUGUAGCACUCUAUAUAGCAUAAACACUUCUUCCCAGCGCUCCUCCGCAUAUCAGCUGGUAUCUUCCAUCGUGAUAUUUUGAAACAUGUAAAUGUAAACUCAAUUAUGUCAAUAAUUAUUUUAUUACGAAAACUUUUUUCCAACAAAUGAAAAAAAUAAAUAACAUUAGUAAACAUAAAUGUGUGUGUGAGAGAUAAUAUGCAACAUUGAAAUAUAAUUGGGAAGAGAGAUGCAAGCCUUUAGAAAAAUUAAAUAUGGAAUACCAUCGUAGUAUUCAAGUAAGGUACUGUCAAAAUCCUACCUAAAUUGAAAAUCAAAUAAAAAUUUAUAACUAAUUAAAAUCAAAUAAACUUGGAUCUUUUAUAAGUUUGAUAUCAUAAAAACUAUUUCAAUUAAAUAAUCUUUAUUUGAUUUUUUAAAGCCAACCUAUCCAAAUCAACUAAUAUUACAUAUGCAGUAUGAAUCUCUUUUAUAAGAUUUUAAUGCAUUUUAGAUACGUGUUUAAUGAUUGUCCUUUUUUUUUGUUCCCUGCAGGUGCUUUGGUUUUACCCAUUAUACGUGUUUAGCAUAGUUCUUAGCACAAUUUGGCAAUUAGCAUAUUUUGCUUUACACUACUAAAAUAGAAGCCAAUUGCGCAAUCUUAUUUCAAAGUUUCCUAUUAUGGCGUCAUAUGUAAAGGUGAUUCUCACAAAAUGUUUCUCAUGUUGGUGUUGAUUGUAACAUUCUAUUUUUUCGUAAAUUAAUUUAAAAAGGAUUGUUAUUUCUAAAUAAAUAGAAUUUUAUAAAAAAUGAUAAGGUUUUCAUAAUUAAAUAAAUAAGGAGAAAUAAUUUUAUUAAUUAAAAUAAUGGUUUAGAGAAAAUAAAAAGGGUAUUUUAUUUAUUCAUUUGAUAGUGAAUAAAAUAGAGUUUAUUUUUAUAAAAUAAUAAAAUUAAUUAAAUAAAGUAAAUAAUAAGUUGUGAGUACCCUAGCUAUAAAUAGAGAAAUGUUAGGUCAGUUUUCAGAUUGACAAUAGUUUUUCAACCUCCUCUUUCUCUCAAUUUCGUUUUCCUUUCUCUUUCUCACAAAAUUCUCUCUUUUCCCGCAUACCAUCAAACCUAUCUCAGAAAAACGACGAUUUCAUAUUCAUUCACCAUUGGAUUGACGUGAAAUUUAAGAACUAGGUUUGCAACUCAAUUACGAGGAUUUUCACCGUUGGGAAUUACGAAAACAUAUCGGAUUUGAGAGUAAUACCCUUCGCAUUGUAACUUUUUUUUUCUCGCAGAAAUCCAGAGCUAUCUCGGUAAAACUACAAUCCCAAACCUUUUAACCAUUGGGUUGUUUUCAGAUUUUCAUAUGUGGUUCGCGAUUCAUUUUUGCACAUUUUCACCGUUGGGAUUUGCAAAAUAAUAUCUGUUGAGGGAUAAAUAUGCAUCGCAUAUAGGACCAUAGAAUGGAGGCUUCAAUCCAUUCUCCUUCUCUCUAACGUUUGGGAACCCUAACAGAGAAAUCGAAGGAGAAGCUCUAGAGAGCACCAGAAACGCCACAAUUGAUAACGGAGAACGCUUGAGCGACUACAUCGAGGUAAGGGAUGAGUUAUUCACAAAUGAGGAUUAAUGAGAACAUGUGUAGGGAUCCUUAGAGUACCAAUUAGAAUGAGUUUUGGGGUGUUUCUACAAUUUUUAUUUUAUUCUUAUAAUUAUAACUGUGAAUUAUAUAUGUUUGAUGAACCAGUUGAUGUCCUAAUGAAAAACUACUGUGAAAUUGAUGUGUUUUUUUGUUGAGUGUGAACCCUAUAAAUUGAACCUUUGUCUAAUUAAUGUGAAUUGAUAAAAUUAAGUAAGUAGAUGUUUAGUGUAAGAGGGAGUGAAAUAUUGAUUUUGUAUUUUCUCCUUUUCAUGCUUUUUAGUUUUUUUAUAGUUUAAAAUUAAUAUUAUAUAUGAAAUUGACCAAAGAUUUCUAGUAGACUGUGUUAUAUUCUUAGAUAAUAUAUAUAAAUUCAUGUAUAAUUAUAUAUACAAGAAAAUGUCCAUAUAAUUAUUUAGAAUUGGUACAUUGAAAGCUUACUUUGAAAUUCAUGACCCAAUAUGAUGUAUGUUGCUGGUUUUAUAUAUAUAAAUUUAGCUAUAUAUUUAUUUAUAUUAAUAUUUUAUGUAAAUAAUAUUGUAGUGUUGUUAUAGUGUGAUUCCAAAAAUUAUUCAAGUGUUGGAGUUUGAGAAUAUUAUGGUUAGAUUUGAGGUACAUGUGUAUUGAGAUGUGUGUAUUGAGUUGUGAGUUAUGAAUUAUACAAUAACCCAACCAGUGUUGUUAUUGAGAAAAGUGUUGAUGCGCAGUGUUAAAGAGAAAGUGUAGGUUUCCUAUUUAGGAAUCAGUGUUAAAUUGUAGCACAAUGUGUUAAACGUGUUUGAAACACAAGUGUGAGGUUGUAGAUAUUGUAUAAUUCAUGAGCAGUGUUUAUAAAUGGAAUGUGUGAUGAAUUGUGGAAUAACAUGUUGCUUUGAGAUUAUAGUAUUGUUAUUGAGAUUGAGUAUAAGUACAAAGUUGAACAUGUGUUAAUUUGUAAGAUACAUUUAAACAUGUGAUGGUGGAUUAUGACACUAUGAUAUUUGAAAUUGUGAAUGAGUUUUGACUGUGAAUAAGUGUGUGGUUAACACUUGAUGUGACAUUACUUGUGUUGUAAGCUCUGAAUUGUACAAUAAUCCGACUAGUGUUAUCUUGAGAAAAGUGUUGAUGCACAAUAUUAAAGAGAAAGUAUAGGUUUCUUAUUUAGGAAUCAGUGUUAAAGAGAAAAUAUAGGUUUUUUAUUUAGGAACUAGUGUUAAAUUGUAGCACAAUUGUGUUAAACGUGUUUAAAACACGAGUGUGAGGUCGUGAGUAUUGUAUAGUUCAUGAGUAGUGUCUGCAUGCAAAAAAUUAUUUUAGGGGUUAGACCUGAAUCAGGAGGGAGAGGCCCUGAAGGACUCUUCGGAGUGUAGGCCUUGGGAGUCACCUGGUUUGAGUGCUCUUUUAAGCAUGUGCCGAUCCCGCAUGGUUGGAGCAUUAUCGCAAAACAGCGUGACCCUGACUGGUCUCCCUAUGAUUUUACUUAGUGAGAGUGACUUGACAUACCCAUUGUGUGGUGUGUCUUGUUAUGUACUCCUAAGCGCCCUAGGGUGGUUUUUCACUGACAUGGUACCACAUUGCAUAUAGACUUGAGUCUUAGCAUAACUGUUGCAUACGCUUGCUAAUUAUUUAUUAUGAAAUAUAUUAUUUCUUGAUCAAAGUGUGUGAUUCUUGUGUAAUGUGAUUGAUGAUUGAAAAGUGAAUUAUGAAUGACAAAGUGAUUGAAUUACGUGAGUUAUGUUUAAGUAAGUUUUAUUUUAUUUAUAUGAUAUGUAUAUCUAGUUGUCUUGCUUCUCUAUUAGUUAGGAAUGUGAUAACUUACUCUCCGUGUGUCGUUUGUUUUUGGAUCCUGUGAUGAUCUUGAAACUUUGUGUUCGAGGGAACAGAUGACUAGAUGAAUUGUUUUAAGGAACCUUGUGCUGAAGGAUGUCAGGACAUAAUGCUCUAAUAGGAUGUGACAUUGGGGCAUAAUAGUUAGGGGUGGGUAAACGGGCCCAGGUCCAUGGACUAGCCCGCGGGGCCCGCGGUCCGCACGGGUUACAGACCAAUUAUUUUAAACGAUCAAUGGUUAUGUCAUAUUUUUUGAUUCGUCCCGCUUAACCCGCGGACUAUGCAGGUUUGGCUCGCAGGGUUUGCGAGUUACUCGUAGCCCACAUUAGGUUUGAUUUGUGUGACCCUGACCCAAAGAUGAUAAAGAUAAAAAAAGGAUAAGAUAAUAAAAAUAAAAGAUAACAGAAAGAAAUAAAAGAUUAAGAUAAAAAAGAUAAGUGAUAACAUGCUAAAAAUCUUCAUUUUUUCAUAUUUUCUCGAUCUUUUUUCUUUUAAUUUAUACUUUUCAUAUCUACAAGCCAUAAAUAAUAAAAAUAUAAAUUCUUAUCAUUUAAGCUAAAAAUAAUUGUUAAAUAAAUAUUUUUAAAGAUAUUUCAAUAUACUUUUAUUAUAAAACAUAGCUCACAUCAUAUUUAGCAGUUAUCAUUGUGGCAGGCUAAGAACACUUUUACUUAUCACGGUUUUUCUCCAUCACGCAGCCUCACGAUUUUUUUCCACCACGCAGUUACGCACACGCGCAAGUCAUACGACUUUUUCCCUUACAAGGAAAAUAAAACGCGACUUACACUCACGCAGUCACGCGACACACCAUAGCGGCACAGCCUCGGCCCACCAUCACGCCACCAUGCAAAGUACAUCUCUUCUCUCUCUAGAAUUUGUUUUUAUCCCAUUUUUGUUGGGGCUGAUUCAUUGUUGUUGUACUCUUAAAUGUGAAGAUGGAGAAAACUCAAGCUACUUCAAAUAUGGAAUCAUUUGUUGUUGGAGAUGUUUAAAUUUCAUAUUUUAGAUUUAUUGCUUGGAUUUUCUUUUGUUAAGACAUUAUUUAUUUAAUUGAUGUAAUUGACUAAUUAUUAAGAUUUUAUUUACAUUUGUAUUGAACUUAAUUUGAUUGUAUUGUAUUUUUAUUACAAUUAAAAUUCUUUUAAAACUAGGCCCGUGGACCGGCCCGUUUGACCCGCGGGAUCCGUGUGGUGGAGGCGGACCAAUUUAUUUGGUCCGUGUAAGAAGCUGGACGGACUGGCCCGGUCCGCUGUCAAUGCGGGCUUAUGCGGGCGGGCCUUACGCGGGACGGGUCGGCCCACUUACCCACCCCUAAUAAUAGUCUAUUUUAUUUUACCCCACUGAUUUAACAAAUUUUUUUAUUUAUAAAUUUUGAUGGCCUUGUUUUGAGCCGAAUAUAUUUUAAAUAAAUUUUAUUUGGUAAUAGUAAAGUAAAUGUGAACCUUUUACCCACGUGAAUUUUUUUACCAAUAUUUUUAUAUGUUUUAUUUAUUUAUAUAUAUGUCGGGGUAGAAGGUGUCACAUUGGUCAGCAUACCACAUUUUUCUUCUAGAACACAUGAUAUCUAGGUAAUUCUAAAAGUAUGAAACAAUUUUAAAUAGACUUUUGAAGAACCUUAUAGUUAAAUACACUUUGACCAAUUUUAAAGAAUAAAAGUAUGAAACAAUAUAUAAACUCGAGAAUAUCAUUCUGUUAGCCUAUUUUAAUUCCAAAUUAUAAUAUUAAUUCCAAACUAUAUAUAAAAAAACCCUAAAAAGCAAGAAAAGGGAAAAAAUACAAAAUCAAUUUCUCAGUCCCUCUUAUAGUAAAUAUUUUCUUAUUUAAUUUCAUCAAUUCACACUAAUUAGAAAAAUACUCAGUUUCUAGUGUUCAUACUCAACACACGAACACAUCAAUUUCAUAGCAAUCUCACAUCGGAACACCAAUUAGUUUGUCAAACAUAUAUAAUUCACAGUUAUAGUUGUAAACAUAGAAUCAAAAUUUCAUAAACACCCCAAAAUUCAUGUCAAUUGAUCUUCUAAGGAUCCCUACACAUGUUCUCACUACUCUCAAUGGUUAACAAGUCAGGGAUCAUAGUUUUACUAGAAAAGGGAACAAUCUUGAAGAAAGAGAGAGUGUAGAAACAUCUUAAGAUAAGUACUGACCUAAUAUGUUUCUAUUGAUAGCUAAGAUGUUUUGAUCAUAUUAUUUACUCUAUUUUUCUUUAUUUUAUUGUUUUAUAAAAAUGAACUAUAUUUACUUAUUAUGAAAUGAGUAAAUAUAAUAUUCUUUUUAUUUUCUAAAAACACAUUUAUUUUAUUUACCUUAAAACCAUUAUUUUAAUAAAUAAAAUUAUUUCUCCUUAUUUAUUAAAUUAAAAACUUUAUUAUUUUUAUAAAACUUUAUUUAUUUUUAAAUAAAAGACUUUUUAAUUUAUUUAAAAAAAUGGAAUGUUAAUGUGACUUUUGAGUAGUUAGUACAAGGCUCUAUCCAACUAAGCUAAUAGGCCAAUUAUGUUAUAAAAUAAUUAAUAUCGUUAUAUAUAAUACUAAAAUUUAUAAUGUAUAUUUAAUGCACAUAUAAAUUUAAAUAAUAAAUUUAGUGACAAUUAAUUUUGAUCUAAUAAUUAAUUUUUUUACAUAUAUGAAUUGUAAAUGAAAUCUAUGAUUUUUUUUAAAAUUUUUAUAUAUAUAUAUAUAUAUAUAUAUAUAUAUAUAUAUAUAUAUAUAUAUAUAUAUAUAUAUAUAUAUACUAUUAGAUCAAAAUGCAUUAGUAGAUUUAUGUUAAUAAUGUAUUUUUUACAUAUAUAAUUUUUUUAUUAAACCUACGAUUUUUAUUUACAAUUUAUAUAUGUAAACAAAUUAAUUAUUAGAUUAAAAUUAAUUGUCACAAAAUUUAUUAUGUAAAUUUAUAUAUGCAUUAAGUAUACAUGAAAUUUUUUAGUGUUAUCUAUAGUGACAUUAAUUAUUUUAACAUAAUUGACUUAUUAACUUAGUUGGUUAGAGCGUCGUACUAACAAUGUCUGUAAUAUGGGAAUUACAAUGUUGUGUUGGGUAUACUAGAAAAACAAAUGGUGCACGUAGCAAUUCUCAAACCAAUAAUGUUUUAUGUUGAACUUUUAUGGACUUUCGUAUAUUUUGGGUUUUUUAAUUGUAAUCCAUAGCCCAAGUAUAUCAACACACUUUCGUAGGAACUAGGGUUAUCAGAAAUUAAAUGUAUAUAGAAGCAGUUUUCUUUAAGCUUUCCUUUAUCGUCCCCUUGCAAUUUAUCUUUCUUAGUCUAGUUAGCAGCAGAGUCUAUCAAUCUAAAUGUGGAAUGCUAUUCAGUUAUCUAAGACUAGACCACUCUAGAGGAUAAGACCCUACAUCGUAGUUCUAAAAAAUACAUUAUUAUGGGUCAUAUGUAAAGGUGAUUCUCACAAAAUGUUUCUCUUGCUGAUGUUGGGAGCAUAACACAUUUUUCUUCUAGAACACAUGAUAUCUAGGCAAUUCUAUCAUGAGCAUAAUGCUUUACGUAAAACAUCCAAUCAAAAACUCAAGAUAAAAUUUAAAUAAUUUCAGUUCAAGCUUCCUUAUAAGUAGUUCAUGCAUUUUCCUUUUCUUUGCUGACUUGUCGUUAAUUUUUAAUUAAUUGAAGGAAAGGGAACAAUUGAUUUGAAUUAUUAUAUUUUCUGAAAAAAAGAAUAACACUAUAUUUAAUUUGUUUCCUUUAUUUUGAUAGGGAAAAAGUAAGGCUUACAAAUGUUAUCAUUAAUUUGGUAAAGGUAUCCAAAGUUCAGAAACCCAAAAAACUAAAAUAAAAUGACCUACAAUAUAAAAAAAAAAGAUACAAUACAAAAAUAGAAAAGAACAAUUAAAACUCAAGCAUGUUUAUUAAGCUCAAUCUUUCAGCUAUAUAUAAGUGACAAUGUAGAGCUAAUCCAUUGAAGAUGAGCUUGACAUUACCAGCUCAUUGGCAACCUGCUCCAUGGUAGGGCGAGAUCGUGGACUUUCAGUCAAGCAGGCCAUUGCUAUCUUUGCAAUUGAUGCCACUUCCUUACCAAUUGGCUUUGUUGGAUGAGGGAGACGUUGGUCCAACUUAUCCAUCAAUGCCAUGUGAUCGAGUCUUGAGGCCACAAGAGUAGAUGGAGAUGAUCCCAAUAAAGAAGAUAUAACAUCACCAGGGUGCUUCCCAAUAAGUAUUUCCCUUGCUAGGACCCCAAAACUAUACACGUCACAUUUCUCAUUCACCUCCAUUGUGUAUGCAAGUUCUGUAACAAAAUAAAAGUGCUAUCAUACGCAAAAUAGGAUUCUAGUGACAAAGGCAAAAUGUGGACAAUUGUGACUAAGAAAGGCAAACUAAAAAAUAUGAUAUGCUCAAUUUAGUAUAAAGAAAGGUAAUUAACCUGGAGCAGCAUAUCCAAAGGUUCCUACGAAUGAGGUCCAAUUGGAUGAAUCUGGAUUAAGAAACUUGGCUGUUCCAAAGUCUGAGACAUGAGCUACAUAUUCGGAAUCCAAAAGAACAUUCUUGCUUGAUAUAUCACGAUGAACAAUUCGAGGUGAACAUUCAUGGUGCAUAUAGCACAGAGCAUUUGCUACAUCUUUAACAACAUUCACCCUCUUAUACCAAUCAAAUGCCAUUGCUUGUCCAUCAUCCUUCAGAGUCUUCUCAACACUGCCAUUCUCCAGGAAUUCACACACCAAAAAUGAGAAUUGUGAAUGUGAACAAAACCCAUAUAACUUUACAAUGUUACGAUGUCGAAUUUCUGUCAAAGCUUGGAUCUCACAUGUGAAAGCUUUCAGAUUGAGCAUCUCUCCAUUUGGAACUGAAUGGAGUUUCUUCACAGCAACAACUUGACCUGUAGGCAGCACUGCUUUGUAAACACAUCCUUGCCCUCCAACACCAAUGAGAUGUUUGUCGUCAAAAUCUUCUGUGGCUUCAAUAAUAUUCUCAAAUACCAUUUUGCCAUCAAAACUCCAUAUUGCAAAUAUGUUAGGAGUUUGUAUACUUGUAGCCUGGUCUUCUUUGUUCGUUGAGGUUUGGCAUAAAUGAUACGAGACUCCGAAAGCAAAUAAUGCCAGUAUUAGAAUGCCCAAAGUAAGGGGUAAAAUUACUAUCAUUACUUUCUUCCUCAUAUGAUUAUGAGAUUUCCCACUUGAUGUUGAGCAAGGCUCCAAGCCAGUGACAUUGCCACACAAGCCUUUAUUAUUUCUCAAUGCUUCAAUUUUAGCAUUGUGGAAGGCUAGAAUGUUUGGAAGUGGACCCUCAAACUGGUUGUAUGAUAUAUCAAUAGAUGUCAAGCUCGUCAUAUCAUCGAAGCUAGAGAGAUUACCUGAAAGAUUAUUGUGAGAGACAUUCAGUGCUUCUAAGCCUUUUAAUUCUCCAAACAUUGAAGGUAUUGUUCCUCUCAAAGAAUUUCCACCAAGAUCAAGACUCGUAAGAAAUUUCAGUUUGCCAAGCUCUGAAGGAAUAUUUCCCUGAAAAUUAUUUUGGCUCAGACUCAUGUUCAAUAAAUUGAGCAAAUUUCCUAGUUGUUUUGGGAUUAAGCCAGACAACUUAUUUGAUCCAAGCUUCAAAAAUUGAAGUUUCUGCAUUGAUGCUAUUUCUUUGGGAACAUUUCCUGUAAGAUUAUUGUUGUCGAGUGAGAGAUCAAACAAGGGCAAGUUACAUAAAUCAUGUGGAAUGUUUCCUGUAAGAUGGUUUGAAGACAGCUGAAGUCGUUGUAAUUUGGUUGCCCCAGCUAGCUCUGGUGGUAUCACACCUGAUAAAUUAUUGUUGGAGAUCAUGAGGCUUGUGAGGCUACGAAACUUUACCCAGUUAGGUGAAAGUUGACCAUAAAAGUUAUUGUCGCUCAAUUCGAGGUAGUCCAAAUUUGGAAGUACACCAAAAGCAUCUGUUAUAUCCCCAGUUAGCUGGUUUCGCUGAAGCCUGACUCUUAUAAGGCUGGAGCAAUUCUUCCAACUCACUGGAAUUGGGCCUAUGAAGUUGUUAUUUUCAGCGGAAAAAUAUUUCAACGUUCCACCAAUGCAAAUGUUUUGAGGUAAAUGGCCUAUAAAAUUAUUGUCAGCUAGCUGCAAAUUUUCCAGAGCAGUAAGCAUGUUCAUUUCUAUUGGAAUCUUGCCACCAAGUUGAUUUCCAAAAAAUAGUAAUGCCCUGCCAUUUGAUAAAUUUCCAAUAGUGGAAGGAAUUGAUCCAGUGAGUUCAUUAGAGUAUAUAAAUAAUUCACUAAGCUUUGACAAAUUUCCAAUGAUGAAAGGAAUGGACCCAGAGAGUUCAUUUCUAUCAAGGAACAAGGAGUCCAAAUGGACCAAGUAGCCUAUGGAAGCUGGGAUUGGUCCAGUGAGCUCAUUAGAUUGUAUAAAUAAUUCACUAAGCUUUGACAAAUUUCCAAUGGUGAAAGGAAUGGACCCAGAGAGUUCAUUUCCAUCAAGCAACAAGGAGUCCAAAUGGACCAAAUUGCCUAUGGAAGCUGGGAUUGCUCCAGAGAGGCUGUUGCCCGACAGUUGGAUAGUGGAAAGUGAAUGGAGAUUUCCCACUCCAUCAGGAAUAGAACCAUAUAAACUGUUUUUAUAAAGGUAAAGAUAGUAUAAAUUGCUCAAGUUUCCAAUUGUAGAGGGGAUUUCACCAGAGAGAAAGUUAUCAGACAAAUCAAGUUGACCAAGUUGUUUCAAAAAACCAAUUUCAGGAGGAAUGAAUCCAUAAAGACUAUUAUUUCCGAGAUCUAGAAUCUGGAGAUUAACCAACUUCCCAAUUUCUUCGGGCAUGGAGCCAGACAAGCCACUUUUCCACAUACGAAGAAUCUUUAGGUUCCUUAACUUCCCAAUAUCACGAGGAAUAGACCCGCUGAAACUGGAUUGGCUCAUGUCAAGCCAUGUUAGAUUCCUCAGCAUCCAAAUUUCUUUGGGAAUGGAGCCAGAAAGCCCACUUUUCCAAAGCCAGAGAGUCUCGACGCUCCUCAAAUUCACAAUUUCUUUGGGGAUGGAACCGUUGAAGUUAUUACCAGCAAAUGACAAAUGCUUUAGGUUCAUAUGCCAAAUUCUCAGUGGAAUGUUGCCAGAAAGGUCGUUGCUUUCGACAUCUAGAUGAGACAAAUUGCAUAACUUUUCUAUUGAGAUUGGGAUAGUCCCUGAGAUAUUGGACCGAGGAAUAUCAAGUAUUCUCAGAUUCAUCAAUCUACCCAUUUCUUGAGGAAGGGAUCCAGUGAAAUUAUUAUCACCUAUGCGCAAUGUAUGAAGACCAACCAAGUGUACUAUUUCAGAAGGAAUAGUACCAGAGAGAUCAUUGUCAGAAAGAUUAAGAAACAAGAGUUUGGAGAGAUUAUCAAUGGUAUUGGGAAUGCUACCAAAGAGGUUAUUAGUGGACAAGUCAAGAGUGUUGAGAUUGGAUAAGGAACCAAUUUGAGGAGGAAUAGUUCCAUUCAAGGAGUUGUGACUCAUAUUUAGAGUGAGAAUGUUUGGAAGUAAUGAGAAGUUGAGACUGUGAAGCGUACCUCUUAAUCCAACAUUUGUAAGAUUUAUGUUGGAAACAGAAUUGAACUCAUCACAUGCAAUUCCGAACCAAGUGCAAGGAUUAUCGCCACUCCAUGAAGAGAGAGAAGCAUGACUUUGGUUGUCAAGGCUGGAUUUCCACUUCAACAAAGCAUUUGCUUCUGAAGCAAUCUCAGAAGAAGAAGCAGCAAAUGCACAGAAGUACAUCACAAGAAGCAGCAAAAGUGGUUGGAGCUUCAUGGACAGAAGCGUUGGAAAUAUGAACACCAUGAGGAAAUUUUGAGGAAGGAUUCAAUCACAGAUUGUCUGAUACAAUCAAAUCCAGGAGAAGUACUUACAAGCAAUUCAUGGGAUAUGCAUAUUUAUAUGCAAAACAUCAUGAAACACGAACCAGAGUCAAGAAAUAUUGUACUUUUCUUUCGUUGAAGUCAAGAGAUAUUUUACUGUAUCUACAUAAAUAUAUGUUACAGCUUGGUUCAAAAGGUUCAAAAUAGAAAAGUUUUACACCUUUAAUCUCCAACCUUUUGCAACUGUGCUUUCGAAGCUAUCCUUUUUAUUUUAAGCUUUUGACGUUUUUUAAAACAAUUAAAUAAUUAUAAUUUUUUAUAAAACAUUUAUUUUGAGUUAAAAAUAAGCCCGUGUUUUUUGGUAUAGAUUUUUUUGUCUAACUAUAUAUAUUCUUUAAUGAAAGUUAUGCUGUUCAAGUCAAAUACCAUAUCAAAUACCAUAAUUAUGAAUAAUCAAAAGUCAAACUUGAAACUACUACUUAAACUUGAACAACUCACAAUAAUUGAUUCACAUAUUCACUCACUAAUUUUUUGUGUACUAUGAACAUUAAAUCAUCAUGAUAAUUUUUUUACUAAAAAUUUAAAGAUCUUCGCAUCAACUAAAAAUAUAAUCAAAAUAUAAUAUAUAACUAAAAAGUAAUUAUAAUCUUAUAAGUUGACUUUAUAAGAUUAAGUUAGGCUUAUAUUCAAAUUGUAAGAGUAAAUUAGAAUUUUUGUUCAUUAUCUAUAUUUUAGGUUUUAAUUUAACUAGUCCAUUAAAUUUAAAAUUUUUUACUUUAGUUUAGACCAUUAAAAUUUCUCUUUGUUAAACAAGUUUGGUGACAUGAAUAAAUUGUAAGAGAUAUCAUAUGGGCUAAAAUUGACAUUGUUAGUGUAAAAAACAAAUUUGGUCUAACCCAUGUGAUAGACUAAAACGAAACUUUUGAAGUACAAAAUCCCAAACUAAAACUUAAAAUAUAGAUAAGAAUCCAAUUUAUUUUUUUUAAAAAAAAAAACCUUUUUUGCUUCUCUAUCUUGGUUGAGAAUUAUUUUGGUUGAUUAUUUUUUGUGGUUUUUCUUGUCCUAAUUAUAUUUUUUAUCCAUAAAAUUCAAAUGUAAGACAUUAAUUAUUUAAGGGAAUAAGAGAAUUAGUGUAAUACCACUUAAAUCAAUAACUUAUAGGUAAGUGAAACAUUUUCUAUAUUACUUUUUUUAUAUUUUCCAUUUAUAUUUCUAUUGCAGAUUAAUUACAAUUUGAUUUUAGUUAUCACAUAUAUGAUUAUCGUACUUCACAAAAUCAAAAUUAAAAUUUACUUUUAAAUCAUUAUCUUUUAAUUAUGACCAAUUAAUUUAGGAAAUAAAUGUUAGGAAACAUUAAUCAAUAAUAUUUACAUUCCAAAUGGUUUUUUCCUUAUUUAAAAUAAUUAAAUUUCAAAUUAUCCUUGAGAAACUUUAAAUAAAAUAUUUAUAACUAAUUUUUAUUUCUAAUGAACACAAUAGAACCUUUUUCAGGGCAACAUAAUAGAACUUUAAAUUAAAUAUAAUUAUUAUUUUCUGGUAUUGUGAUUAUAUGAUCUUAAUAAAUAGCUUUAUAUAUUAUAUAAGUCUUAAAAAAUGCUGCUAAAAAAUAUAUAUAAGUUUUAUAAAAAAUUACUGUAAUAAAGUUAUGUAUUAUUAAAUAUAUAAUUUAGAUAAAAAAAUAUUAAUUUGUUGCAGUCCCUUAUACAUUUUAAUUAUAUUAAAUCAUUUAAAUGUUAUAAUAUUGAAAACUAAUUAGGAUGAAGACUGAAGAGAAGCGAUAAAUUCAUAAUACGGAAGUAAUUAACGUGAGAAAGAAAAUAUCAAACAAGACAGCCGAUCAGUGGGGUCAAUAGAAGUCUAGCUUGGUAUGUUGCGCGCGUUUACUUUACAAAACUGUUACUGUUAGCAAGCAGAAAUUUCCAUACUGUAAUAAUGCAUGGGCAAAUUUCAAACUUCCACAUGACCAUUUAUGUAACACUGUAAUUUUUUUUAAGGUAAAAUUGUAAAAUUGAUCUCUUACUUUAUCUUUAGUUUUGGAUUUGAUCUCUCAUUUUUUUAAUUCACAAAUUUGAUCCUCCUACCAAAAAAUAUUGACUAUCAUGUAUCACGUUCCUAUUGGAUGAUGACUAUUACGUGUCAUAUUCUGAUUGAUCAAUGAACACAACAAUGUAUUUCAUCUUUCAUGGAAUUUACAUCUAAUAAUAUGACAUGUGAUAGUCAUCAUCCAAUAGUAACGUGACAUGUGACAAUCAACGUCACUAGCUAUUAAUUGUGACAUAAGGGAUCAACAUUGCACGAUUUUACAAAAUAGGAGGAUCAAAUUCAUGAAUUAAAAAAUUGGGAGACCAAAUCCAAAACUAGAGAUAAAGUAAGAGACCAAUUUUAUAAUUUUGCCUUUUUUUAACAACUUUUUUAAUUAAAAUAUAAAAGAAAUUUAAUUUAGUUUAUGCUAUAAAUCAUUGAGUUUUAAAAAUAUAAUAAGUUUAAUUAUGUGUUUUAGAUGAGCUUAGUUGUUUUUUUUUUAGAUGAGUGUAAUUAAGAGUUGCACUUUUGAUACAAGUGGAGGGGAGUUAGUAUAGACCUCAUGUAAAUUGUUAUAGAUUCCUAACUAUUAAAGUGGUUGAGAAUUUUUUAUUUAUUUUAGAAUUACUCUCAUUGAAUAAAAUAUACAUGAUGAUUCCAUUAUAUAUUAUUUUUCACAUCCUUUUGUUGCAAGAGAAGCGGGAUUCUAUUAUUAUAUUUUUUGGCACCUCCAUUAAUAUAGUCUUUCUUCUUAAUUAUGUAUCUUUUUACAUUGACAAGGUUCUAAGUUUAGAACUAUUAUUGGUUAAACAAAAUGAUACCCAAGCCAAUUAAUUCAAGCACUUGACGCUAGUAAUCAUUAAUUUUACUAAUAAUUUUUUGGAAAAAAAUUAUUAGUCACAUAUGAUGCUCUUACAAAAAAUAAUACAGUAGUGACAUUUUACUAAAGAUUUUAGUUUAUAUAUUCAUAAAAUAUCAUAAAAAUAUAUUAAUAAUAUUUAUUUAUAUUUGGUGAUAUUUUUUAAAUGUUACUAAAAUAAUAUUUUACUAAAUUUUAAAUAGAAAAUAAUACUAAUUGUCACUGUGUAGUAGUGAAUUAUAUUUUAGAUUAUUAAAAUUAACAGUAUAAAUUAUAAAAUUAAUUAUUAUGAUUAUAAAUAAAUUAUUAUAUAUUUAAAAUAUAUUUUAAUUAUUAUUUUAGCAAAUUAGUAUUCUAAAAUAAUAAUUACAAAUGAUAUAUGUAUAUAUAAGUAAAAUCAAAUUAAAUACAAAUAUUAAUGUAGUAUUUAGUUAGUGUUAUUAAUCAUAUUUAUAUAAAUAUUUAAAUAAUCUAGCAUUUUUCUUAUAUAAUAUUCAUUAUUAUAUUUGUUAAAAUCAUACAUGAUAAAUUUUAAUAAUAUUGUUAAAUAUAAUAUGUUGAUUGAAUUUAAUAAAUAUAAUGUUAAUAUAUGGAUGAUAGACAUUCAAAUUUUUUAAAUGAAUUUAUUUAUAUAAAAAUUAUUAUUAAAUAAAAUGAAAUUACUAAAAUAUACAUUUUAAAGAAUAUUUGUUUAGUAAGAUGUGUUAAUCCUAAAUGUUUAUAUGUAGGAGAAUGACUUAUUUAGUAGAGAAACUCAUAUUUGAUUUUUUUUAUGUGUAAAUUUUUUUAUUUUAAUGACAGACAUGGAUAAUGAAUAAAAUUAAUCUUUGGAUUAGUAGUUAGAAGAAAUCCGUAUUCUUUGAACCGAUAAAAAAAAUUAUAUUAAAUUAUAUAUUUUAUCAUAAGGGAUGAGGAGCAAAAGUGAGUUUUUUUUCUUAAAUACACCUUUUCUUUUUUGUUUUUUUUUUAAUCUAUACUACUUUAUAAUUACUUUCUCUCUCCUUUUUGUUUUUUUAAUUUAAAAUAUUAUAAAAUAUAAAUAUUAUAUUAUAUAAUUUUUUAAUUGGUUUUAAAAUUACUUAUUUAUUGAAUUAAAUUAUAUAUAUAUAUAUAUUAAUUUUUUUAAAGAAAAUGAUAUUAUUAAAUAUAAUUAUUUUUGUUUUAUUAUUUAAUUUACUUAACAUAUUUUUUAGGUAAAUAUUUUUAUUUAAAAUCUGAAUUUUCUAAUAUAAUUAUAUUAUUAAAUAUAAUUAGUUUGUUUAUUUCAUUAGAUUUAAUUAAAAAUGAGAAGACUUUUUGUUUAACAAUUUAUUAAUAGAAGAACAUUAUAUUAUAUUAUUAAUAAAAUACUUAAAUAAUUGCAUCUGGCUAAGAAAAAAUUAAAAAUAGAGAUAUGUUAGGACAAUUGUUUUUGUUAUAACCAUAUUCCCGAAAAAUUUACAUUUUUUUCUACUUUCUCGUUUAGAGUUAAAACCGGACUAUCCUUUGCGUUCUCUUUCUUUUAUUUUUCAUAUUUUAAUCUUUUAUAAGUCAUAAAUAAUAAAAAUAUCAAUUUUUAUCACUUAAGUCAAAGAUAACUGUUAAAUAAAUAUUUUUAAUAUAUUUUUAUUUAAAGAUAUUUUUAUUUAAAAAUAUUUUCAAAAGGAUAUUUUACUCUAAAAAUAUUUUUAGAGUAAAAUAUCCUUUUGUACUUCAUUCACGCUCUAUCAUCCUAUUUAGUUAAAGUACUAAAAGGCAAGGGUUGAAAUUAAUAUAUAAUUUAAUUAAUUUAUUAAAACGACUCAUACAAAUUUUACUAAAAGCAAAUUUAGUCUUCUUAAUUUUUUUGUUAACAUUAUUAAUUAAGUAUUAAAAUAUUUAUUAAUAGCAAUAUUACUGGAAUAAAUUACACUUCCCUCUCUUAAAAAAUACGAAUAUCACACUAUCAUCUCCUCUUAUAUUAAAAAUUUUACUCUCUUUACCUAACAAAUUUGAAUACAUUACACUUUAUUUCUUUUUAAUUUUGUGUUAAAAUUCUGUUUGUUUCUUUUAAAAUAAACUAGAUUAUUAAAAUAUUCUUUACACUACCACCUCCUCAAAGGUGCAAAUAUUUCACUGCACUCUCCUCUUGUGUUAAAAUAUAUACUUCAUCUCUUAACUAAUGUGUGCGCGCGAUAUAUAUAUAUAUAUAUAUAUAUAUAUAUAUAUAUAUAUAUAUAUAUAUAUAUAUAUAAAAUGUGUGAUAAUUAAUUUUUUUAAACAAUUAUAAAAUUUUAAUGUCUGUAUACACACACAUUUUAUUAGUUUGUUAGGUAGUGAAUUUUAUUAUAAUUAAAUUUUAUUUAAUAAUAGAUUUUUACAUAUAUAUUCAUGUGAAAAGUUAUGUGCGCGUUACAUUUAUCAAAAUUAAUAAAUAUAGUAUUUAGAUUUAAUAAUAGAGGAUAUUAUGAAAAUUAAUCAUAUAUUAUUUUUUCACGACAAAUUUUUUAGCCAUUGCUGAAGUACUAGAUUUCCACCCUUAAUUACAAUGUACGGGUAUAAAUGAGUUCAAAAUACUCCAAUUCAAAAUUUGAGCCAUAACAUUUCAUUUCCAAAUUAACAUAAUAUUGUUUGCAUAAUUAAGUCACUUUAUUAGCUUAUUUAUUUUCGUAUUUUUAGUUCUACACCACUCUCUAUUUAAUGUUUGUAACCUAAAAAAUUAUCUAUUUAAAGUGAGUUUUUUUUUUUAUCGGCAAUAUUAAGACAAAAUCAAAACCGCGAUUUUUAUCAUGGUUCCUUUCUCUCUUCCCUUCUAUUUAAGGUGGGUAUGCUUAGUAAUUAUUGAACAUAAAACAAACAUAUACUAUUUAGUGGGUUAAAGUUGUUAUUUUUUAUUUUAAAAGAAAAAAAACAAUUACUAAUAAUAAGUAAUGUAUAUACAUCUUUCAAUUUGACAAACAUUAAAUUAAACUUAAAGUGAAUUACUACUUAUGCACUUUAAUUUCAAGAAAUUAAGCUCAAUUUCAAUGAAAUUUAAUAAUUUGAUACUUUGUCUUUUUAAGAGAAAAUGUCCAUGACACAAACUGCAAAUUAAGUUAUAAAAACUUUAUUUUCGAUGGGUACUUAAAAAAAAAAAAACAGGUGAAAUAUAUACCGUAGUAUGACUUCAAGAAUAUGUAUAAUAGUUAAAUCGAUACCAAGGUUAGGUAGAUUUCUUGUGAAUGAAUCCUGCAAACAUAUCAUUAUCAACGCGAGUCGUGUUAGAAUAGCCUCAAAAUUCAAUCAUCCACUUGAAAAUUUGACCACUAAGGCAAAUUCUCACUUCUCUGCGUAUUUUUUUUCCUAACCUAACAUUUUUUGCUAAUCUAACAUGAUGUUAGAAUAUGUAACGCGAACAAUAUUAAAGAUAAAUAAAAUAAAUAAAUACAUAAAUAUGUAAAAGCAUACACAUUAUUACAUCAGAAGCUUUAUAGGAGUACAUAGUAUACAACAAUAUACAUAUUGGAUCAAGCUCCAUGCGUCCUUAAUUUGCACGGUUAAAAGUUUACAAUGUGAAAAGAAUCCAUACCUUGUAAUAUAAUAAGGAAUAAAUAACACAAAAUAUAUAAGGAAAAACAUACAAAGUAUAUAAAUUAACAAAUAUUAUAUUAAUUUUUAAAAAAAUAAUUCUUCAUAGAAAGUUAAUUUUUAUAUUUAAAUUUUAAUUUUUCUUCAUUACACUUGAAAUGAAUGCAAAUAACUUCCGAUUCUAAACAAAUAUUAAAUAUAAGAUGUAACGUGAAUAAUAUUAAAGAUGAUUAAAGAAAAUAAAUAUGUAAAAGUAUACAUUAUUACAUGGAAUUGAGCAAAUUAAAGCAAUUCAAAUAUUUUUCACUAAUCAGUAAAAUGGUACUUAAACUGAAGUUCCGUAAUGCAAAGAAUUAUUCAUUUUAAAUACACACUUAAAUCAGUUUUCCUUGUAAGGUAGUGCAUGCAAUUCAAAUAUUAUAGAAUUCUACUUUUUGUUUGCUAACUAUAAAAGGAUUCUAAUGUUCUAUAACAUUUUUUCUGUCCUUUUCUAUCUACGUACUCUCCUGGAUAGUUGGUAAAAUAUAUAUAUUUUAAUUAGCUACAAAAUAUCAUCUUCGGUCUCUUUUACAAGCCUUUCUACAUCUUUACCUGCAACAUAAAAUUCCAAAAGUUUUGUUGUUAAAAGUAGAACGGGGAAACUAUUAAUAACAUAAUAAUAAUCUUGAGCUUUCUUUAAAGGCAGCAUUAUAGUUGAGAAUGUGGCAGCAGAUAUACUAUUACAAUCUGUGCUUAUAGAGUUUCAAUGCACUCAAUUUCAAUCUUGGCAUCCAAUGGCAAUGUAGCCACUUCUUAAAUUGAACCGUUGGAAAAGCAGCUAAAUAAAAUUGUUGAAGUAAUUAUAGGCAUUAAUUAUGAGUGAAAAUUAAAUAAUACCAACUCAAGGGGAAAAUCUUAUGAUUUUCAGCAUAGUACUCGUAGUUUCUCUAGCAUUAAUCACCCUAAUUAUAUAUUAAAUAUGACAAGUUGACAAAAUAACCGAUUAUGUAUGACAAGAUGAAUCUUUAAGAGUUAAACCAUAAUAAAGCAUGAAGGUUUUUAAUCUAACAGCUGCUCACUCUUCUUCCAUGGUACGUGUAUGUUACCUACAAGCUAACACAUUUCUCAGCCCACAAAUGUAACAGGAUAAAUUUUUACAGCACAGAAUAAACUAUGCCAUAAGUGAAAUUCAUUAGUAAACACACUACCCACUCUUUUAAAUGCACUCUUUACUAUUAGUUGAAAUCAGUUAGAAAUUGCUAAGUCUAUUCCCAGAGGAUCAUAUGUCAGUGGUGAAACAAUCAAAAUGCUAAUUCCUAAACACACAUAAAACUCGAAUCCCAAUUUCCUAGACACCCAUGCUCAGGGCAAAUCUGUCAAGUCUAAACUCUAUUACAUACUUACGUAGAAUACAAAGUAUAAAGAUUUAUGAGUAUGAGUUAAGUAUACAACAUCAAAGAGAACCAACCAGACUUUCCAAUAUUUCCAAAUUUGAAAUGCAACUCUAGGAUUGUGUGGUAGCCUACUUAUUAAUUAUGCUACAAUAUCCUAGUAAAAACUUAAAACGCUAAAGUUUCAGAAUUUCGGUGCUGAAUCACAUGCUUUUGCUUUAUAUAUUGCAGCAGCAAAUUAGAGUACAAAAAAACCAAUGACAAUGACAAAGGUUUAUAUGUAGGUCCGUGUAGCACAGGUUUUGGUUCGCAUACCUUGAGUGAAAAACCGCACACAGUUUUUGAUGGUACACAAAACCUAACAGUAGUAAAAGCUAAAUAAAUUACCAAGAAAUCUAAAAUCAAGUAAUAAAGACAAAAUGAUUUUACAUACAAAGAGAAUGGAGUGAGAGAAAGGUUCACAAACAAUGGCAGAACCAGACCGCAAGAGGAAAACUCAAAAAGGAGAAAGAGCCAGGCAGAGACAAACAAUUACGAGAGCGAGAGAGACGACUCCAGCGAUGGCAAUGUGAUGGGUAGGGUUUAUGAAAGGCAGGGCAAUAAUGGCGAGGGUCAAGGAAUAGAGCUUCGUGAGGGCAACAGUGGUGAAGUCACGGAUACAAACCCUACAUUGUCCCCAUAACCCUAAUGCGCAGAUACAAACAAUUAAAUAUUAUAUUACAAUUUUUAAACCCUACCGCGUAAAACAAAAUCACUAUAUCCUAACACUAACUAAAAUUUAUUUAAAAAAAACACUUUAAAAACAGGAGAAGUCUUUUAGGGUAACAUCUUCUAGGUGAAGCAGAUCAGGGUAGUUUCACCAAGUCAAAAAAGCACUUUAAACAAAAGAAAGUUUUCAGGGUAGCACCUCCUAUGUGAAGCAGACCAGGAUGACACCUCCUCUUGUACUGACAUCCACCUAAACAAAUGACAGAGAUCAGGGUGGCAUCAUUAUAGGAGGAGGCUUACUGAUGCUUCUCAUUAUCAACCUGAUAAAAAAAUAUUCAUCUUGAUAAAUAAUUUGUUUACCAACUCAUAUAGGUAAAUAGCUUUUAUUUUUCACCCAUAUUGAUAAAAAAAGUUGACAAAUGACAUUAAUUUCAAAAUCAGGGAUAAAAAUCUGGGACAAAAUCAUUUGGUACCUACAUUUUUCAGUGGUAAAAAUCUGGGACAAAAGACAAAAUGGGAAAAAAUCUACGUACACAAAUUGCAUUUGGCCUCCUCUAAGCUUAUGAGUGUAAAACUCUUUUUUAAUUAAUAUUCCAAGAGGCUCAUUUCUUUUAAAUGCAUGUCAUAUAAUUUGCCAAGAAAGAAAAAAUGGCAUAAAAAAAUUAACAUAUGCCAAAGCUUAAACAAAUAGACUAUGUGAUUAAAAGGAACCGGUGAUAUAUAAUUGCUUUGAAAUCCCUGUGAAAGCUUCACUGUUAGGUUGAUUAGUUGCUCUCACUUAGUUGACAUAAUUUAAAGAAAACAAAAUCAAUUUCAAGGUUUAUGAAUUUCAGUUUCACCACAAUCAAACCGUAUAACAAAAAUCUAAUGAGACAAUAAUAUUUUAAAGAAGAAAAAAUGCAUGUUAUUACCACUCAUAAUGGAUGUAGUAGUCCUUACUAGAAACUAAAAUUAAUGUGAUAUAGUAACAAAAAAUAUCAGUUUUAAUUAAAACUAAUGUUGUAAGUACUAUAAAAUAUUGAUUUUGUUAAAACUGAUGUUGUAUAGUGCAUACAUCAUUAGUUUUGACAGAACUAAUAUUUUAUAUUACUUACAACAUUGAUUUUUGAUAAAAUGGAUGUUGUUUUUGUUAUUAUACCACAUUAAUUUUGAUCAAAAUUGAUAUUGUACAAUAUUAUUUUUGAUAUAACCGAUGUUGAUUUUACAAAAAAAUAUAUAUUUUAUUUAUUUGUUAAAUAAAAUCAAACCUGUAAAUUAAAAGCAAAACCAAUCUAACCAUAUUUUAUAUAUAUAUAUAUAUAUAUAUAUAUAUAUAUAUAUAUAUAUAUAAUAAAAAAAUACUUAAAGGAUAUCAAACAAUGAUCUCAAUACAUAAAUAUCUUCCAUAAGCUAUGUCAAACAAUGAUUUUUGGACCUCUAGUAAAGUACACUUAAAAAAAUUCCUCUUUUUUUUACUACAUUAAAAAUGCUUCAAAACAUACCAUCGAAGUUAAUAAAAGAUAAAUAUAACUCAGAAUAUAAUUCCAAAUAUAAAACAUUUUAUUUUCUUUUUUUUACUACAUUCUUUUUUUUUAGUUCAUGAAUCUUAUCAAACACGUAUAGUGUUUCUCUCUGUAAUGAAAGAGACAAAUAUAACUCCAAAUAUAACUCAGAAUAGAGUUAAGAUAAAAGAUGACUUGUGAGACUUACUUCAUGAGUAUCCCUUUAGAGACAGCUUCAAAUAUAACUCCAGUAUAAUAGUCAAGACCUCGGGUCAGACAUAAGUCAAAAACCACGUUAUCAAGCCGUUUUGAUUUAUCCAUAAGUUUAAAUAAAAUUUAUAGGUCAUUCAAUGCAUCAACGGGUCCAUCAUCUUUUAAGAAAGCACUGCCUUCUCUAAAUUUAGACAACAAUGCUAGAGGAGGUCCUUUUUCUUUGAUAUAAGUUUCAAUUUUGUCAGCAAUCUCAGCAAUUAAUCCUUUCUCUUCCACCUACUGCAUGACAGUACAAAAACACAUCAUUAAACAUAACAUAUAUAUCAUGAUUACAAGACAACAACUUUCCGAUAUUACAGUAAUAGGGAAUAUUAUUGUCUCAAAUUUUAAUUGGUCAUUCACAUAGAAAGAAACAAAAUCAUAAGUCUCAAAGACCUAAGGCAAUGAAUGUAGUGGAAUAUGCUUGAACAGUUUUACGAAUAUUUAAAUCAUGAAAUGCAAUUUCUUUUUUAUUUUAUUAAACAAUGUCUAAGUUUUGAAGCACCAAGUCUAAUCUAAUGUUAUUAAAUAAAAUAAUCCUUUGCAUUGAAGCACCAGAUCUUACCUCAUACAAACAAAUGAAUUAUAAGAAAGAAAGUCACAAUGGUGUCCUAGAAACCAUUAGAAUGAUAUGAAGAGUUCCUCAUUCUAACAGCAAGAGCCCAACAAAUAAUUUAAAGGCAAUAAUUACAGAGAACUUCACAAAAAUAUAAAUGUACAAACAUCUUGCUUGGAUGCCAAUAAAUGAUAAAACACAACUUACACUAGUUUCUACAGUACAUAGAACAUUUUGCAGCCUCAGAUAACUGCAUCAAGACAAAUGAUAUAAGGUGCAGAAUAAUUGUUCAAGAUAAAAUGCAGAAAUAUAUAACAUAUUUACUAGCAUGGUUAUAGUCAUCACUCAACACAUUGUUACUAUAGACCAAAGACAACAUUAAACUUUGAACUAAUGAAAACAGUGGUAAAAAAUAGUUCAUUUGGUCAUCUAGGCAGGGCAGAAAACAGACACACUGCCUCAGAAAACCUGAGGGAAGUAAGCCUGAUGAUGUGCCUAAUGGGACCAGAUCCUGUAAUUUCAGAUAACAUGCCAAUUUACUUUGGCUUAUUAUACUCAGUAGCCAAUGGUAUCUAAUAUAAAGGAGUAUUCUACUUUACUAACACCAUCUGAACUUAAAAUUACCUAGCAAUCCAAGAAAAUGCCCUAAAAAUAGAAUUUGAAUUUAUCAGUUGUGUGCGACUUGCAAUCCAGAAGUCAAAGCUCCCUUUAUCUUGUAAUUUCCAAGAUCUUUAUUCCUAGCCACAUCUAUUUUGGACUAAAACUACUGAUUUUCCUAGCCACAAUAUUCAUAAAUAUACCAAAAGUCAAAAAUCAUUGUGAUUAGUGGCAAUCCCUACAACAUUUUCUUGUGCAUGAUAUAUGCUUAACCAAAGCACUGGCUCUGGCAAAUAUUAGUUAGUUGAAAUUCAUGUAACAUAAAUUUAUGAAAAUAAUCAUUAGAAAAAAAAAUAAAAGAAUAGAAAAAAAAACCGUCUCUAGAUCUGCCUUUGCUUGUUCACGAUCACAGUACUCGGCCCAUUCUCAUACGCAUAUGCAUUGUUUUUUUUUUCCAUAUAAGAGGCAACCUUAUAAGGUUAAUUGUAGUCUAUACUUAGCACUAGCUACUUUGCCACCAACAUUUCCAGUAGUUUUGCUAAGCUCAUGACCACCUACACAUGAUAAGGAAGAAAAAUAACAUGCAAUAACCUGAAAAUGUUAUGUCCUAGUAUUCGAGAACUAGGAAGAACUCCAGAAGAGGGAUUAGAGGAGAGGAAAUUUCUGUUUUAUUGCUUGCAUUUCAUUACAAUGACUAUCAUAUUUAUAAGCACUGAAAUGCUAAUUCUGUUAUUGCAUUUCCUCUACAGGUCCUAAGGUGCACAAAAAGCAAAAUAACAGAAUUAAUGGUAGUGAAGCAUGAUUCCUAGCCAGCAACAGGAUCUCCUUCGACCAAUGAGAGGCUGCCAGCUCAGCGUUUGUUGUUGGCACUGGUCACGUAGUCCUCCAGGUAGUGUGGCUUGCAUAUUCUCCUUUUGUUUCUUGUCUGCUCCUAAUUCCCCUGUGUUGGUUUGCCCUGUGCUGAGUUGAUUUAUAACAUAAAAACAAUAAAAAGUUCUUUAUCUCGCAAUAAACACCUGAAAUAUAGAAAGGCAUAGACAAAGAUUCAGUCAUAUCAUCACAACAUGGACCGUAAAUUUUGUUUGGGAUAAGCUACUACCUGGAGGAAGAUGCCAGAUUGAACAAAUGAUUCAUCAAAUUCUUGGCUUCAAGAACGGAAUGCACUUGGUUCCAACGUCCCUUGCCACUGAAAACCCGUUCCGGCUCUUCUGCCUUUGGUAAAUGAGAUGCCAUUGACAGCAAUGUUGUAGAAGAAGUAGCAAUGAUUUUUUCAAGGGCAAAUAUCCUUGAAUUUCCUGCACCCAAAGACAUUGAUGCGAGGCCAGCACUAGAUUAGCAAUUAGGCAAGAAGAUGUUGUCAAUUAUAUAUUUCCAAAUACAAGGUUAUAAUUGAAUCUAAAGAAGAAAAAUUGUCCGUCAUGACUCUAAAGGGAAAGAAAAACAAAACACAGCUUUCUGCUUCAAACUGAGUAUUAGAAGUUCCAUUAGUAGGAUCGUUUCACCUUAUGAGAUUUAAUUCUCUGGAUCUCAUCCUGUAGUCGUUUUGCAGCCUCGUCACUUUUGGUUUUGUCUCAAUAGUUGAGACUAAGAUUCUUGUUUCUAAAGAUGUGUUAUCAAUCAAGAAAACAAAAAUAAUAUUUGCAUUUCAAUUUUUUUUAUCAUGUUCAUACUUAUAGAAAAAAUAGAAAAAAAGCAUAUUUUUUAUCUUACCAUGUAAAAUUAUAAAAUAAUGAAUAUUUUUUAUCGUAUAAAUAUAUCGUUACUAAAUAUAUACAAUAUAUAUUUUAUUUUAUAUUAAAAAAUCUUUCACUUUUCACAUGACACAUACUUAUAUAUAUUCCAUAAGAAUCAAAGACAAAUACUUAAAAUUUAUAAUAACUCAUACAAUAUAUUCAAUCAACUGAAUUAUACUCACUGAUAUAGUUACACAUAUACAUACACAAAUGUUAAAUUCAGAAUUUAAUUAAUUAAAAUUUCUCUAAUAUAUUUCCAUUGUUAAAGAAAAAGUGUUUUGUAUAAGAGUAAUAUAUCAACAAACUUAUAGAUUCCUACCAUAAGCAUAUAACGAAAUAAGAAUCAUACUGUCAUUAAUGGUGUAUUAGUGAAUCACAACGUUUAAAAACCUUAUUCAUGACUACACACAAAAGACGGGAGUUAAGUAGUCAUCUGUUUACACAUUAAGAGAGACAUACUCAUCCAAGGUAAUUAAACAGUAGAAUAAAAUAAAGUAAAAUAACAUGUUAAGAACAUCAUGCAAUUAAAAUAGAAACUCAUGCCCUCAAUGUCAUGUCUUAUUAGAGCAUUGUGUCUUGACGUCCUCCUGCACAAGUGUUAGACAAGUGGCCUCAGAUAUCUUAAGACAUACUCAUGCCCUCAAAGUCUCUUUGCUUCUACAACAAGAUUUCUUAAGGCAAUCCACUUAGUCAUCUUCUCUUACGAACACAAAGUUCAAGAUCAUCACAUGAUACAAAUAGAAACAACACACAGGAAAUGAGUUAUCACAUUCUUAAACAUGUAGAGAUAAAUGAAAAUACAUAUAUGCAUAUAAUAUAAGUAUAAGAAGCUCAACUUAACACAACUUGCAUCAUUUUAUCACUCAUUAUAUAAUGUCACUUGUCCCCCAAGGAUUUAAUCACAAAUCACAUUUCACACUUUCACAUUAAUCACAUGUUUAGAAUGACACAUCUCUAGUACAAUACAAUAUCUCAAACUCACACAAUUCAUUACCCACCAUUACGUAAGAAGUCAAAAUAAUCAUUACAUAAGCAUUAUGUAACAGAUACACUAAGACUUAAUCAUAUAUGCAAUGUGGUACCAUAUCAGUGAAAAACAACAGCAAGGUGCCUAGAAGUACAUAACAAGAGACACCACACAAUGAGUAUGUCAAGUAACUCUCACUAAGUGAAAUCAUAAGAUGACCAGUCAAGGUCCCUCUGUUUUGUGAGAAUGCUCCAAUGAUAUAGGAUUAAUAUAGGCUUAAAGAAGCACUCAAAUCGAGUGUAUUUACCUCCAAGGUUUAGACUCCGAAGAAUUCAUUAGGGUCUUACCUUUCAAAUUCAGGUCCAACCCCUAAAAUAAUUUUUGCAUGCAAAUACUACUCGUGAAUUAUGCAAUACCCACAGCCUCACACUUAUUUUCAAAACACAUUUAACACAAUGCAUUACAAUUUAACUCCUCAAGUUCUUAACUUGGAACCGUACACUCUUCCUUUAACACCUCACGCAUUGCACUACAAUUUAACAUCUCAAGUUCCUAACUUGAAAUCCCUAUACUUUCCUUUUAACACCCUUCACAUUGUGCUACAAUUUAACAUAUCAAGUUCCUAACCUGGAACACUACACUUUUCUUUUAAAACCUUGUGCAUAAAUAUUUUUCUCAAGGUAAACACCAAUUAGGUGAUUGUAUAAUCCACAACUCAAAACACAACUAAUAUCACAUUAAGUAUUAAACACACACUUAUUCACAAGCUAAUAGACCAAUUAUGUUAUAAAAUAAUUAAUGUCGCUAUAUAUAACACUAAAAUUUAUAAUGUAUAUUUAAUGCAUAUAUAAAUUUAAAUGAUAAAUUUAGUGACAAUUAAAUUUGAUUUAAUAAUUAAUUUUUUUACAUAUAUGAAUUAUUGUAAAUAAAAUCUAUGAUUUUUAUUUAAAAUUUAUAUAUAUAUAUAUAUAUAUAUAUAUAUAUAUAUAUAUAUAUACACACACACACACACACACAUACACAUUAGUAUAUUUAUGUUAAUAAUGUAUUUCUUACAUAUAUAAAAUUUUAUUAAACCUACGGUUUUUAUUUACAAUUUAUAUAUGUAAAUAAAUUAAUUAUUAGAUCAAAAUUAAUUAUCACAAAAUUUUUUAUGUAACUUUACAUGUGCAUUAAAUAUAUAUUAAAUUUUUUAGUGUUAUAUAUAACGACAUUAAUUAUUUUAUAACAUAAUUAACUUAUUAGCUCAGUUGGUUAGAGUGUCGUGCUAAUAAUGUGAAAAUCACAGAUUCAAUUUCUGCUUAGACAAUUAAUUUUAAAUUAAUUCGUAAAAUAUAUUUUUUAAAAAAUUAAUAAAAAAAAUUGUAUGAACCACUUACGGAUUGGACAAUCCAUAAGCCAAUUACGAAUCUGUAAUUGAUUUAUGAAUUGUGAAUCCGUAAACCAAUUACGGAUGUACCAGAAAAACAAAUGGUGCGCAUAGCAAAUCCGAAAUCAAUAAUGUUUUGUGUUGAACUUUUAUGGACUUUCUUAUAUUUAGGGUUUUUUAAUUGUAAUCCAUAGCCCUAGUAUAUCAACACACUUUCGUAUGAACUAGGGUUAUCAGAAAUUAAAUGUAGAAGCAGUUUUCUUUAAGCUUUCCUUUAUCGUCCCCUUGCAAUUUAUCUUUCUUAGUCUAGUUAGCAGCAGAGUCUAUCAAUCUAAAUGUGAAAUGCUAUUCAGUUAUCUAAGACUGGACCACUUUAGAAGAUAAGAACGAAACAUCGUAGUUCUAAAAAUGCAUUAUUAUGGCGUCAUAUGUAAAGGUGAUUCUCACAAAAUGUUUCUCAUGUUGGUGUUGGUCAGCAUAACACAUUUUAUCUUUAAGCUUUCCUUUUUCGUCUCCUUGCAAUUUAGCUUUCUUAGUCAUGCUAGUAGCAAAGUCUAUCAAUCUAAAUGUGAAAUGCUAUUCAGUUAUCUAAGACUGGACCACUUUUAGAAGAUAAGAACGAAACAUCAUAGUUCUAAAAAUGCAUUAUUAUGGCGUCAUAUGUAAAGGUGAUUCUCACAAAAUGUUUCUCAUGCUGGUGUUGGUCAGCAUAACACAUUUUUCUUCUAGAACACAUGAUAUCUAGGCAAUUCUAUCAUGAGCAUAAUGCUUUACGUAAAACAGCCAAUCAAAAACUCAAGAUAAAAUUGAAAUAAUUUCAGUUCAAGCUUCCUUCUAAAUAGUCAUGCAUUUUCCUUUUCUUUGCUGACUUGUCGUUAAUUUUUAAUUAAUUGAAGGAAAGGGAACAAUUGAUUUGAAUUAUUAUAUUUUCUGAAACAAAAAAUAACACUAUAUUUGUUUCCUUUAUUUUGAUAGGAAAAAAAUAAGGCUUACAAAUGUUAUCAUUAAUUUGGUUAAGGUAUCCAAAGUUCAGAAACCCAAAAAACUAAAAUAAAAUGACCUACAAUAUAAAAAAAAAAGAUACAAUACAAAAAUAGAAAAGAACAAUUAAAACUCAAGCAUGUUUAUUAAGCUCAAUCUUUCAGCUAUAUAUAAGUGACAAUGUAGGGCUAAUCCAUUGAAGAUGAGCUUGACAUUACCAGCUCAUUGGCAACCUGCUCCAUGGUAGGGCGAGAUCGUGGACUUUCAGUCAAGCAGGCCAUUGCUAUCUUUGCAAUUGAUGCCACUUCCUUACCAAUUGGCUUUGUUGGAUGAGGGAGACGUUGGUCCAACUUAUCCAUCAAUGCCAUGUGAUCGAGUCUUGAGGCCACAAGAGUAGAUGGAGAUGAUCCCAAUAAAGAAGAUAUAACAUCACCAGGGUGCUUCCCAAUAAGUAUUUCCCUUGCUAGGACCCCAAAACUAUACACGUCACAUUUCUCAUUCACCUCCAUUGUGUAUGCAAGUUCUGCAACAAAAUAAAAGUGCUAUCAUACGCAAAAUAGGAUUCUAGUGACAAAGGCAAAAUGUGGACAAUUGUGACUAAGAAAGGCAAACUAAAAAAUAUGAUAUGCUCAAUUUAGUAUAAAGAAAGGUAAUUAACCUGGAGCAGCAUAUCCAAAGGUUCCUACGAAUGAGGUCCAAUUGGAUGAAUCUGGAUUAAGAAACUUGGCUGUUCCAAAGUCUGAGACAUGAGCUACAUAUUCGGAAUCCAAAAGAACAUUCUUGCUUGAUAUAUCACGAUGAACAAUUCGAGGUGAACAUUCAUGGUGCAUAUAGCACAGAGCAUUUGCUACAUCUUUAACAACAUUCACCCUCUUAUACCAAUCAAAUGCCAUUGCUUGUCCAUCAUCCUUCAGAGUCUUCUCAACACUGCCAUUAUCCAGGAAUUCACACACCAAAAAUGAGAAUUGUGAAUGUGAACAAAACCCAUAUAACUUUACAAUGUUACGAUGUCGAAUUUCUGUCAAAGCUUGGAUCUCACAUGUGAAAGCUUUCAGAUUGAGCAUCUUUCCAUUUGGAACUGAAUGGAGUUUCUUCACGGCAACAACUUGACCUGUAGGAAGCACUGCUUUGUAAACACAUCCUUGCCCUCCAACACCAAUGAGAUGUUUGUCGUCAAAAUCUUCUGUGGCUUCAAUAAUAUUCUCGAAUACCAUUUUGCCAUCAAAACUCCAUAUUGCAAAUAUGUUAGGAGUUUGUAUACUUGUAGCCUGGUCUUCUUUGUUCGUUGAGGUUUGGCAUAAAUGAUACGAGACUCCGAAAGCAAAUAAUGCCAGUAUUAGAAUGCCCAAAGUAAGAGGUAAUAUUACUAUCAUUACAUUCUUCCUCAUAUGAUUAUGAGAUUUCCCACUUGAUGUUGAGCAACGCUCCAAGCCAGUGACAUUGCCACACAAGCCUUUAUUAUUUCUCAAUGCUUCAAUUUUAGCGUUGUGGAAGGCUAGAAUGUUUGGAAGUGGACCCUCAAACUGGUUGUAUGAUAUAUCAAUAGAUGUCAAGCUCGUCAUAUCAUCGAAGCUAGAGAGAUUACCUGAAAGAUUAUUGUGAGAGAGAUUCAGUGUUUCUAAGCUUUUUAAUUCUCCAAACAUUGAAGGUAUUGUUCCUCUCAAUGAAUUUCCACCAAGAUCAAGACUCGUAAGAAAUUUCAGUUUGCCAAGCUCUGAAGGAAUAUUUCCCUGAAAAUUAUUUUGGCUCAGACUCAUGUUCAAUAAAUUGAGCAAAUUUCCUAGUUGUUUUGGGAUUAAGCCAGACAACUUAUUUGAUCCAAGCUUCAAAAUUUGAAGUUUCUGCAUUGAUGCUAUUUCUUUGGGAACAUUUCCUGUAAGAUUAUUGUUGUCGAGUGAGAGAUCAAACAAGGGCAAGUUACAUAAAUCAUGUGGAAUGUUUCCUGUAAGAUGGUUUGAGGACAGGUGAAGUUGUUGUAAUUUGGUUGCCCCAGCUAGUUCUGGUGGUAUCACACCUGAUAAAUUAUUGUUGGAGAUCUUGAGGCUUGUGAGGCUACGAAACUUUCCCCAGUUAGGUGAAAGUUGACCAUAAAAGUUAUUGUCACUCAAUUCGAUGUAGUCCAAAUUUGGAAGUACACCAAAAGCAUCUGUUAUAUCCCCAGUUAGCUGGUUUCUCUGAAGCCUGACUCUUAUAAGGCUGGAGCAAUUCUUCAAACUCACUGGAAUUGGGCCUAUGAAGUUGUUAUUUUCAGCAGAAAUUUUUUUGAACGUUCCACCAAUGCAAAUGUUUUGAGGUAAAUGGCCUAUAAAAUCAUUGUCAGCUAGCUGCAAACUUUCCAGAGCAGUAAGCAUGCUCAUUUCUAUUGGAAUCUUGCCACCAAGUUCAUUUCCAAUAAAUACUAAUUCCCUGACAUUUGACAAAUUUCCAAUGGUGAAAGGAAUGGACCCAGAGAGUUUAUUAUAGGAUAUAGAUAAUGUACUAAGCUUUGACAAAUUUCCAAUGGUGAAAGGAAUGGACCCAGAGAGUUUAUUUACAUUAAGGAGCAUGGAGUCCAAAUUCACCAAGUUGCCUAUGGAAGCUGGGAUUGGUCCAGUGAGUUCAUUAGAGUGUAUAAAUAAUUCACUAAGCUUUGACAAAUUUCCAAUGGUGAAAGGAAUGGACCCAGAGAGUUCAUUUCCAUCAAGGAACAAGGAGUCCAAAUGGACCAAAUUGCCUAUGGAAGCUGGGAUUGCUCCAGAGAGGCUGUUGCCCGACAGUUGGAUAGUGGAAAGUGAAUGGAGAUUUCCCACUCCAUCAGGAAUAGAACCAUAUAAACUGUUUUUAUAAAGGUAAAGAUAAUAUAAAUUGCUCAAGUUUCCAAUUGUAGAGGGGAUUUCACCAGAGAGAAAGUUAUCAGACAAAUCAAGUUGACCAAGUUGUUUCAAAAAACCAAUUUCAGGAGGAAUGAAGCCAGAAAGAUUAUUCCUUCCGAGAUAUAGAAUUUGGAGGUUAACCAACUUCCCAAUUUCAUGAGGAAUGUGACCAAAAAGUUGGUUUUCGUGUAAACUUAGAAGUGUUAGAUUGACCAGUGCUCCAAUUGAAAUAGGAAUUGACCCAAUAAGAUUACACAUGCUUAUGUCAAGUUUUUCUAAAUUACGCAACGUCCAAAUUUCUUCGGGCAUGGAGCCAGAAAGGCCACUUUUCGACAUACGAAAAAUCUUUAGAUUCCUUAACUUCCCAAUAUCACGAGGAAUAGACCCGCUGAAACUGGAUUGGCUCAUGUCAAGCCAUGUUAGAUUCCUCAGCAUCCAAAUUUCUUUGGGAAUGGAGCCAGAAAGCCCACUUUUCCAAAGCCGGAGAGUCUCGAUGCUCCUCAAAUUCACAAUUUCUUUGGGGAUGGAACCGUUGAAGUUAUUAUCAGCAAAUGACAAAUGCUUUAGGUUCAUAUGCCAAAUUCUUAGUGGAAUGUUGCCAGAAAGGUCGUUGCUUUCGACAUCUAGAUGAGACAAAUUGCAUAACUUUUCUAUUGAGAUUGGGAUAGUCCCUGAGAUAUUGGACCGAGGAAUAUCAAGUAUUCUCAGAUUCAUCAAUCUACCUAUUUCUUGAGGAAGGGAUCCAGUGAAAUUAUUAUCACCUAUGCGCAAUGUAUGAAGACCAACCAAGUGUACUAUUUCAGAAGGAAUAGUACCAGAGAGAUCAUUGUCAGAAAGAUUAAGAAACAAGAGUUUGGAGAGAUUACCAAUGGUAUUGGGAAUGCUACCAAAGAGGUUAUUAGUGGACAAGUCAAGAGUGUUGAGAUUGGAUAAGGAACCAAUUUGAGGAGGAAUAGUUCCAUUCAAGGAAUUGUGACUCAUAUUUAGAGUGAGAAUGUUUGGAAGUAAUGAGAAGUUGAGACUUUGAAGCGUACCUCUUAAUCCAACAUAUGUAAGACUGAUGUUGGAAACAGAAUUGAACUCAUCACAUGCAAUUCCGAGCCAAAUGCAAGGAUUGUUGCCACUCCAUGAAGAGAGAGAAGCAUGACUUUGGUUGUCAAGGCUGGAUUUCCACUUCAACAAAGCAUUUGCUUCUGAAGCAAUCUCAGAAGAAGCAGCAAAUGCACAGAAGUACAUCACAAGAAGCAGCAAAAGUGGUUGGAGCUUCAUGGACAGAAGCGUUGGAAAUAUGAACACCAUGAGGAAAUUUUGAGGAAGGAUUCAAUCACAGAUUGUCUGAUACAAUCAAAUGUAAGAGAAGUACUUACAAGCAAUUCAUGGGAUAUGCAUACUUAUAUGCAAAACAUCAUGAAACACGAACCAGAGUCAAGAAAUAUUGUACUUUUCUUUCGUUGAAGUCUAGAGAUAUUUUACUGUAUCUACAUAAAUAUAUGUUACAGCUUGGUUCAAAAGGUUCAAGAUAGAAAAGUUUUACACCUUUAAUCUCCAACCUUUUGCAACUGUGCUUUCGAAGCUAUCCUUUUUAUUUUAAGCUUUUGACGUUUUUUAAAACAUAAUUCAAUAAUUAUAAUUUUUUAUAAAACAUUUAUUUUGAGUUAAAAAUAAACCCGUGUUUUUUGGUAUAGAUUUUUUUGUCUAACUAUAGAUAUUGUUUGAUGAAAGUUAUGUUGUUCAACUCAAAUACCAUAAUUAUGAAUAAUCUGAAGUCAAACUUGAAACUACUACUUAAGCUUGAACAACUCACAUUAAUUGAUUCACAUAUUCACUCACUAUUUUUUUUUGGUACUAUGAACAUUAAAUUAUCAUGAUAAUUUUUUUACUAAAAAGUUGAACAUCUGACAUCAAUUAAAAAUAUAAUCAAAAUAUAAUAUAUAACUGAAAAAUAAUCAUAAUCUUAUAAGUUGGCUUUAUAAGAUUAAGUUAGACUUAUAUUCAAAUUGUAAGAGUAAAUUAGAAUUUUUGUCCAUUAUCUAUAUUUUAGGUUUUAAUUUAAUUAGUCCAUUAAAUUUAAUUUUUUUUUACUUUAGUUAGACUAUUAAAAUUUCUCUUUGUUAAACAAGUUUGGUGACAUGAAUAAAUUGUAAGAGAUAUCAUAUGGGCUAAAAUUGACAUUGUUAGUGUAAAAAACAAAUUUGGUCUAACCCAUGUGAUAGACUAAAAGGAAACUUUUGAAAAAAAAAAUAUUAAUUUGUUGCAGUCCCUUACACAUUUUAAUUAUAUUAAAUCAUUUAAAUGUUAUAAUAUUGAAAACUAAUUAGGAUGAAGACUGAAGAGAUGCGAUAAAUUCAUAAUAUGGAAGUAAUUAAAGUGAGAAAGAAAAUAUCAAACAAGACAGCCGAUCAGUGGGGUCAAUAGAAGUCUAGCUUGGUAUGUUGCACGCGUUUACUUUACAAAACUACAAAACUGUCAAUGCAAGUCUUGACAGAACAAAGGGAAAGAUAAAAAAAAAGGACAAAACAAAGGAAGACUACGAACACGGAUAUAAGAAAACCCAAGCAUGUGCACUGCAUCCAGGACCAGCCCUAAUAAGUAAUAACCCUUAGGGAGGGUUACAUGAUCACGAUUUGAUUUGACAUGCUUCUAGAUUAACGACUCAAAUGAAAAAUAUUAAAUUUCCUUCCUUAUUUUUAAUAUAUAUAUAUAUAUAUAUAUAUAUAUAUAUAUAUAUAUAUAUAUAUAUAUAUAUGAAUGAAUGAAUUUAUUAUUCAAUAAAAGAAUGAAAAGCGUCAUUAAAACCCUAAAUUUUAUAGAAAUUAAUGUAAAAUAGAAAACACGUUAGAGUAAAAUAUCCUUUUUUACUUCAUUCACGCUCUAUCAUCCUAUUUAGUUAAGGUACUAAAAGGCAAGGGUUGAAAUUAAUAUAUAAUUUAAUUAAUUUAUUAAAACGACUCAUACAAAAAAUUUUGAUGUUCUAUCAUUGCAUUAGAUUUUACUAAAAGCCAAUUUAGUCUUCUUAAUUUUUUUGUUAUCAUUAUCAAUUAAGUAUUAAAAUAUUUAUUAAUAGCAAUAUUACUAGAAUAAAUUACACUUUCCUCUCUUAAAAAAUACGAAUAUCACACUAUCAUCUCCUCUUAUAUUAAAAAUUUUACUCUCUUUACCUAACAAAUUUGAAUACAUGACACUUUAUUUCUUUUUAAUUUUGUGUUAAAAUUCUGUUUGUUUCCAUUAAAAUAAACUACAUUAUUAAAAUAUUAUUUACAAUACCACCUCCUCAAAGAUGCAAAUAUUUCACUGCACUCCCUUCUUGUGUUAAAAUACAUACUUCAUCCCUUAACUAAUGAGCGCGCGUGUGUGUAUAUAUAUAUAUAUAUAUAUAUAUAUAUAUAUUAUUUUUUUGGAUAUUUCGUUUUAAAAUGUUUGAUAAUUAAUUUUUUUAAACAAUUAUAAAAUUUUAAUGAGUGUAUGCACACACUUACACACAUUUAUUUGUUUAUGUUAGUACUGAAUUUUGUUAUAAUUAAAUUUUAUUUAAUAAUAGAUUUUUACAUGAAUAUAUUCAGGUGAAAAGUUAUAAGUUACAUUUAUUAAAAUUAGUAAAUAUAGUAUUUAAAUUUAAUAAUAGAGGAUAUUAUGAAAAUUAAUUAUAAAUUAGUUUUUAUGACAAAUUUUUAACCAUUGCUGAAGUACUAGAUUUCCACCCUUAAUUACAGUACACGCGUAUAAAUUAGUUCAAAAUACUCCAAUUGAAAAUUUGAGUUAUAACAUUUCAUUUCCAAAUUAACAUAAUAUUGUUUGCAUAAUUAAGUCACUUUAUUAGCUUAUUUGUUUCGUGUUUUUAGUUUUACACCAGGCUCUAUUAAAUGUUUGUAACCUAAAAAAUUAUCUAUUUAAAGUGAGUUUUUUUUGGUGUGUAUGAAACCCAAGUUAGAAUUCUAAACAGAAAAAAUUAUUCCCUACUAUAACGCUAACGCUGUAUGAUUUGGUUUUAGCCUAGAGCGUUUGGAACGGGGGAAAAUGAUGUUGGCAUUUGAUGAGAGAAUUAUUGUGUUGAAUGAUGUACGUACAUGUAUAUAUCAUUCGCACUGCGUCAGGAUGCCCUUCGAAGCACGUAUUAUUAAUUUCUGCCUCCAAUCUAUUCAAAUUACGUAAAAGCUUUGAUCUAACUUGCAUCCAUCUUGCGUGAUGAACAAUCAAAGACGUACUAGCAAGUCUUACAACCUAUAUCAUACUUUUGUGACAUAAUAUAUUAAUUACUCUAUAAAAUAUAUUAAGACAGUUCCUAUUGAAAAUACAAAGUGUGUGAGGAGUAAAUCAUUAUUUUGUUAAAUAUUUAUUUUUGUAAAUCAUUAUCAUCAUCAUCGACUUAGUCUUGCUUGUGUAGUGACACUUUUAAUUUCAACAUGAAAGGGACAGUAUGAAUGUAACGUCUUGCAAGUCCACCACGUAUAAUUAUGUUUCGUUAUUAUCCAUUAGACCAUUUUCCAAGCAACUGUACUUAAACAAUAUAAGUACUGUAAUAUAUAUAUAUAUAUAUAUAUAUAUAUAUAUAUAUAUAUAUAUAUAUAUAUAUAUAUAUAUAUAUAUAUAUAUAAAAGUACAGGGGACUUUAAAAUAUUGGGUGAAUAAACAUCAUAGUGUGAAAUAUUUAUUAUUAUUUUAUUUAAAUUAUAUCUAUUAUAAAAAAUAAUUAUGUUUAAAUCAAAUAAAAUUAUCAUGAAUUAUAAAACUCUUUCUUCAAAUAUUAAUUUAAUAUAAAUGUAUACUCAGAAUUCGAGUUCAAGACUAUUAUUGGUUAAACAAGAUUAUACCCAAGCCAAUUAAUUCAAGCCUUGACGAUGGUAUUUAUUAAUUUUACUAAUAAAUUUUCUUAAAAAAUAUGACUGGUCACAUAUGAUGCUUUUACAAAAAAUAAGACAGUAGUGACAUUUUACUAAAGGUUUUAGUUUAGGGAAAAGAGAGUGUAAUUUCCUCUGGAAGAAUAUGAUGAUACCAUUUAUGAAGUCAAUGCAUGUCUUGACGGGUUGUCUUGCAUAAUGCAUACGUUGGUAAAUUGCAAACUUCUUUUGGCAUUUGAAGGGAAAGAUACAAAAAAGGAUCAAACAAAGGAAGACUACGACGCGCAUAUAAGAAAACCCAAGCAUGUCCACUCCAUCCAGGAACAGCCCUAAUAAGUAAUAACCCUUAGGGAGGGUUACAUGAUAACGAUUUGAUUUGAUAUGCUUCUAGACUAACGACUCAAAUGAAAAAUAUUGAAUUUCCUUCUUAUUUUUUAAAAUAUAUAUAAAUGUAUUGUUGGGAAAACUCGGACUUUCCCGCUUCGUGAAGUUAAGAUAAACACUUAGUAAUUAAAGGUAAUAAUGGGAGCACACGAUUAUAAUUCUUCAAUAUGGAAAUUCUUCCACUAUACAAAAUGAUAGUAGGGUUACAAGGAUGUGUUUACAAAAUUGACUCACUCUAUGGUGGCUCACUCAAGCUUGAGAAUAAAGACUUCCCAAACUAUUUAUCUUCUCUCUCAGAGAUGCUUACUCAAGCUUGAGAAUAGAGACUUCCCAAACUAUUUAUCUUCUCUCUCAGAUAGGCUCUCUACUUGGAUCGUUAGGAAUGAAGGCUCCUAUCCUUAUUUAUACUACUCCACCUCCACAAUGAAUGAUGGAGAUUACUUGUAUCCUAGGGUGAAGAUUAAUUCUCUAGAAUGUUCCACAAAUUCUAGGAGUCUCUACACUCUUCUACUCCCUUCCAUAUCCUUCCAUACUUUUUCAUAAGAUCCCAGAAGGUUCCACACAUCUCCAGAAUAUUCUAAAGGUUUCCAUAUUCUUUCACAAGCUUCUAGAGAGUUCUACACUACUCUAGAGUUCUCCAGGACGUUGUAGAAAAUUCUACACUUUUCUAAAAAGCUCUAGAAUUUUCUAAAACCUCUCCAAUUAAGGAGGGAUCCCAACAAAUCUCCCCCUCCCGACUUAAUUGGGGGCUAGUAGCAAACCGGCACCUUGACAGCAAUCUUUAAACUUCUUUGUUGGUAGUACUUUGGUCAUCAUGUCUGACCAGUUCUCAUCUAAGUAAACCUUAUCAAGAUGUACUUUCUUUUCCUCGAGAACAUCUCAGAUCCAAUGAUACCUUACGUCAAGGUGCACAUCCUUGAACAUGUCUCCAUCAUGAGCGAUGUUAUCCUCUAUCUUGAACUGCACGAGCUAGUGACGGCUCCGGAUGAACCUGACUUUUAAUACCACUGUUGGGAAAAACUCGAUGGGAGGAAAUACUGGGGAGAUUCCUGUGGACCACGAGCCACCACAUAAGAAAACCUAGUACCACACUAUAACCCAAAACCUUAAGGCUUAGGUUUAUGAGUCUUCUCUUCACUUAUAUGGUGCUCAGCCUUUCCACUUCUACCCGAUGUAGGACUUCACCUCACACUUGUACUCCAACACAUCUCCCCCUCAAGUGUGAGUCUCUUCCACAUGGUAGCCUCCCCCCUCGAGAGAAAGUCAUCAUCCACGAGUAUAGCCAUUAGAGCCUACAUGCUCUAGCUACCUGCGAUACUUGCAUCGUCGCUCCAUCUGCGGGACACGCUGCCUGGACUCACUGUCAGGAAGACUUUCGAUACAAGGGAUCCCCAAGGCUGAGAUCCAUCACCGCCAUCUUACUCGUCUGAGCUGGUCACCAAGUCGAACAACCUGGCUCUGAUACCACUGUUGGAAAAACUCGGAAUUUCCCGUUUCGUGAAGUUAAGAUAGGCACUUAGUAAUUAAAGGUAGUAAUGGGAGCACACGAUUAUAAUUCUCCAACAUGGAGAUUCUUCCACUAUACAAAAUGAUAGUAGGGUUACAAGGAUGUGUUUACAAAAUUGACUCAAUCUAUGGUGGCUCACUCAAGCUUAAGGAUAGAGACUUCCCAAGCUAUUUAUCUUCUCUCUUAGAGAGGCUUUCAUGCUUGGAUCGUUAGGAAUGAAGGCUCCUACCCUUAUUUAUACUACUCCACCUCCACAAUGAAUAGUGGAGAUUACUUGUAUCCUAGGGUGAAGAUUAAUUCUCUAGAAUGCUCCACACAUUCUAGGAGUUUCUACACUCUUCUACUCCCUUCCAUAUCCUUCCAUACUUUUUCAUAAGAUUCCAGAAGGUUCCACACAUCUCCAGAAUAUUCCAGAGGUUUUCAUAUUCUUCCACAAACUUCUAGAGAGUUCUACACUACUCUAGAAUUCUUCAGGACGUUCUAGAAAAUUCUACACUUUUCUAGAAAGCUCUAGAAUUUUCUAAAACCUCUCCAAUUAAGGAGGGAUCCCAACAUGUAUUUAUUAUUCAAUAAAAGAAUAAAAAACGUCAUUAAAACCCUAAAUUUUAUAGAAAUUAAUGUAAAACAGCAAACACGUUAGAGUAAAAUAUCCUUUUUUACUUCAUUCACGCUCUAUCAUCCUAUUUAGUUAAAGUACUAAAAGGCAAGGGUUGAAAUUAAUAUAUAAUUUAAUUAAUUUAUUAAAACGACUCAUACAAAUUUUUUUAAUGUUCUAUCAUUGCAUGCAUUAGAUUUUACUAAAAGCAAAUUCAGUCUUCUUAAUUUUUUUGUUAACAUUAUUAAUUAAGUAUUAAAAUAUUUAUUAAUAGCAAUAUUACUGGAAUAAAUUACACUUCCCUCUCUUAAAAAAUACGAAUAUCACACUAUCAUCUCCUCUUAUAUUAAAAAUUUUACUCUCUUUACCUAACAAAUUUGAAUACAUUACACUUUAUUUCUUUUUAGUUUUGUGUUAAAAUUCUGUUUGUUUCUUUUAAAAUAAACUAGAUUAUUAAAAUAUUCUUUACACUACCACCUCCUCAAAGGUGCAAAUAUUUCACUGCACUCUCCUCUUGUGUUAAAAUAUAUAUUCAUCUCUUAACUAAUGCGUGCGCACGCGAUAUAUGUAUUUAUAUAUAUAUAUAUAUAUAUAUAUAUAUAUAUAUAUAUAUAUAUAUAUAUAUAUAUAUAUAUAUAUAUAUAUAUAUUUCGUUUUAAAAUGUUUGAUAAUUAAUUUUUUUAAACAAUUAUAAAAUUUUAAUGUCUGUAUACACACACAUUUUAUUAGUUUGUUAGUAGUGAAUUUUAUUAUAAUUAAAUUUUAUUUAAUAAAUGAUUUUUACAUAUAUAUUCAUGUGAAAAGUUAUGCGCGUGUUACAUUUAUCAAAAUUAAUAAAUAUAGUAUUUAGAUUUAAUAAUAGAGGAUAUUAUGAAAAUUAAUCAUAUAUUAUUUUUUCACGACAAAUUUUUUAGCCAUUGCUGAAGUACUAGAUUUCCACCCUUAAUUACAAUGUACGGGUACAAAUGAGUUGAAAAUACUCCAAUUCAAAAUUUGAGUCAUAACAUUUCAUUUCCAAAUUAACAUAAUAUUGUUUGCAUAAUUAAGUCACUUUAUUAGCUUAUUUAUUUUCGUGUUUUUAGUUCUACACCACUCUCUAUUUAAUGUUUGUAACCUAAAAAAUUAUCUAUUUAAAGUGAGUUUUUUUUUUAUCGGCAAUAUUAAUACAAAAUCAAAACCGCGAUUUUUAUCAUGGUUCCUUUCUCUCUUCCCUUCUAUUUAAGGUGGGUAUGCUUAGUAAUUAUAGAACAUAAAACAAACAUACUACUUAUUGGGUUAAAGUUGUUAUUUUUUAUUUGAAAAGAAGAAACAAUUACUAAAAAUAAGUAAUGCAUAUACAUCUUUCAAUUUGACAAACAUUAAAUUAAACUUAAAGUGAAUUACUUAUGCACUUUAAUUUCAAGAAAUUAAGCUCAAUUUCAAUGAAAUUUAAUAAUUUGAUACUUUGUCUUUUUAAGAGAAAAUGUCCAGUAUACUGACACAAACCUGAGUUGCAAAUUAAGUUAUAAAAACUUUAUUUUCGAUGGGUAUUUAAAAAAAAAAAACAGGUGAAAUAUAUACCGUAGUAUGACUUCAAGAAUAUGUAUAAAAGUUAAAUCGAUACCAAGGUUAGGUAGAUUUCUUGUGAAUGAAAUCCUGCAAACAUAUCAUUAUCAACGCGAGUUGAUCGUGUUAGAAUAGCCUCAAAAUUCAAUCAUCCACUUGAAAAUUUGACCACUAAGGCAAAUUCUCACUUCUCUGCGUUUUUUUUUUCCUAACCUAACAUUUUUUUCCUAAUCUAACAUGAUGUUAGAAUAUGUAACGCGAAUAAUAUUAAAGAUGAAUAAAAUAAAUAAAUACAUAAACAUGUAAAAGCAUACAUAUUAUUACAUCAGAAGUUUCAUAGGAGUACAUAGUAUACAACAAUAUACAUAUUGGAUCAAGCUCCGUGCGUCCUUAAUUUGCACGGUCAAAAGUUUACAAUGUGAAAAGAAUCCAUACCUUGUAAUAUAAUAAAGAAUAAAUAACACAAAAUAUAUAAGGAAAAACAUACAAAGUAUAUAAAUUAACAAAUAUUAUAUUAAUUUUUUAAAAAAUAAUUCUUCAUAGAAAGUUAAUUUUUAUAUUUAAAUAAUUUAAUUUUUCUUCAUUACACUUGAAAUGAAUGCAAAUAACUUCCGAUCCUAAACAAAUAUUAAAUAUAAGAUGUAACGUGAAUAAUAUUAAAGAUGAUUAAAGAAAAUAAAUAUGUAAAAGUAUACAUUAUUACAUGGAAUUGAGCAAAUUAAAUCAAUCUAAAUAUUUUUCACUAAUCAGUAAAAUGGUACUUAAACUGAAGUUCCGUAAUGCAAAGAAUUAUUCAUUUUAAAUCCACACUUAAAUCAGUUUUCCUUGUAAGGUAGUGCAUGCAAUUCAAAUAUUAUAGAAUUCUACUUUUAGUUUGCUAACUAUAAAAGGAUUCUAAUGUUCUAUAACAUUUUUUCUGUCCUUCACUACUAUAAAAAAGCAUUUCCACGACAUGAAUAUAACAUCGGUGCUAUGCGAACGUUGUUGAAUCCGUAGCGGUGGCAUUUUUGUAAAUACCCCGACAUUAACGACAAUGUUUUUGGAGCUGCCCGAUGUCGUAUUUGAGCGGUUCAAAUGACUACGUUUGAGUAGUGAAAAACGUCUUCGUAUUUCACAUACAACAACGUUUUCUAAGAAAUCGCCGUCCUUGUUGCAGUUUUGCAAAAUAAAAUUUUAGAAACCGCGCCAUUAUCCUUUAACUCUUUGCCCUUCCUAUCUGUCGUGAGCACGCCCUAGCUAGCAACCUCCUUCGUAGCAAACCUCUGUGGUGCCCUCCCUCGUGUGCUUCUGCGUUUCGUCGGUGUCGGUAACUUGUCCGGGCUAGGUUUUGUCCAACUUUUGUGAGGUAAGUAAACUUUGUUAAUUACUUGUUAGUUUUGGUCAUUUACCAGUUCUAGGGUCUGUCCGGGCUUGGUAUUUACAGUUGAGGUCGAACUCUAGGGUCUGUUGGACUGAGUUCUGCAUAAGCAACAUGAAAAUAUAACAACAUUACAAUUGGGUGCUAUGGUAAGGACUGUGUUCGAAAGUGAAAAUAGUUUUUUUAAUUGGAGUUGCAUGUACACUUUGAGGUAACCCGCGCCAUUACCUUUUCUAUCUACGUACUCUCCUGGAUUGUUGGUAAAAAAUAUGUAUUUUAAUUAGCUACAAAAUAUCAUCUUCGGUCUCUUUUAUAAGCCUUUCUACAUCUUUACCUGCAACAUAAAAUUCCAAAAGUUUUUUAGUUAAAAGUAGAACGGGGAAACUAAUAAUAAAAUAAUAAUAAUCUUGAGCUUUCUUUAAAGGCAGCAUUAUAGUUGAGAAUGUGGCAGCAGAUAUACUGUUACAAUCUGUGCUUAUAGAGUUUCAAUGCACUCAAUUUCAAUCUUGGCAUCCAAUGGCAAUGUAGCCACUUCUUAAAUUGAACCGUUGGAAAAGCAGCUAAAUAAAAUUGUUGAAGUAAUUAUAGGCAUUAAUUAUGAGUGAAAAUUAAAUAAUACCAACUCAAGGGGAAAAUCUUAUGAUUUUCAGCAUAGUACUCUUAGUUUCUCUAACAUUAAUCACCCUAAUUAUAUAUUAAAUAUGACAAGUUGACAAAAUAACCGAUUAUGUAUGACAAGAUGAAUCUUUAAGAGUUAAACCAUAAUAAAGCAUGAAGGUUUUUAAUCUAACAGCUGCUCACUCUUCUUCCAUGGUACGUGUAUGUUACCUACAAGCUAACACAUUUCUCAGCCCACAAAUGUAACAGGAUAAAUUUUUACAGCACAGAAUAAACUAUGCCAUAAGUGAAAUUCAUUAGUAAACACACUACCCACUCUUUUAAAUGCACUCUUUACUAUUAGUUGAAAUCAGUUAGAAAUUGCUAAGUCUAUUCCCAAAGGAUCAUAUGUCAGUGGUGAAACAAUCAAAAUGCUAAUUCCUAAACACACAUAAAACUCGAAUCCCAAUUUCCUAGACACCCAUGCUCAGGGCAAAUCUGUCAAGUCUAAACUCUAUUACAUACUUACGUAGAAUACAAAGUACAAAGAUUUAUGAGUAUGAGUUAAAUAUACAACAUCAAAGAGAACCAACCAGACUUUCCAAUAUUUCCAAAUUUGAAAUGCAACUCUAGGAUUGUGUGGUAGCCUACUUAUUAAUUAUGCUACAAUAUCCUAGUAAAAACUUAAAACGUACGCUAAAGUUUCAGAAUUUCGGUGCUGAAUCACAUGCUUUUGCUUUAUAUAUUGCAGCAGCAAAUUAGAGUACAAAAAAACCAAUAACAAUGACAAAGGUUUAUAUGUAGGUCCGUGUAGCACAGGUUUUGGUUCGCAUACCUUGAGUGAAAAACCGCACACAGUUUUUGAUGGUACACAAAACCUAACAGUAGUAAAAGCUAAAUAAAUUACCAAGAAAUCUAAAAUCAAGUAAUAAAGUCAAAAUGAUUUUACAUACAAAGAGAAUGGAGUGAGAGAAAGGUUCACCAACAAUGGCACAACCAGACCGCAAGAGGAAAACUCAAAAAGGAAAAAGAGCGAGGCAGAGACAAACAAUUACGAGAGCGAGAGAGACAACUCCAACGAUGGCAAUGUGAUGGGUAGGGUUUAUGAAAGGCAGGGCAAUAAUGGCGAGGGUCAAGGAAUAGAGCUUCGUGAGGGCAACAGUGGUGAAGUCACGGAUACAAACCCUACAUUGUCCCCAUAACCCUAAUGCGCAGAUACAAACAAUUAAAUAUAUUAUAUUACAAAUUUUAAACCCUACCGCGUAAAACAAAAUCACUAAAUCCUAACACUACCUAAAAUUUAUUAAACAAAACACUUUAAACAGGAGAAGCCUUUCAGGGCAACAUCUUCAAGGUGAAGCAGAUCAGGGUAGUUUCACCAAGUCAAUUUAAUCAAAAAAGCACUUUAAACAAAAGAAAGUUUUCAGGGUAGCACCUCCUAUGUGAAGCAGACCAGGAUGACACCUCCUCUUGUACUGACAUCCACCUAAACAAAUGACAGAGAUCAGGGUGGCAUCAUUAUAGGAGGAGGCUUACUGAUGCUUCUCAUUAUCAACGUGAUAAAAUAAUAUUCAUCUUGAUAAAUAAUUUGUUGACCAACUCAUAUAGGUAAAUAGCUUUUAUUUUUCACCCAUAUUGAUAAAAAAAGUUGACAAAUGACAUUAAUUUCAAAAUCAGGGAUAAAAAUCUGGGACAAAAUCAUUUGGUACCUACAUUUUUCAGUGGUAAAAAUCUGGGACAAAAGACAAAAUGGGAAAAAAUCUACGUACACAAAUUGCAUUUGGCCUCCUCAAAGCUUAUGAGUGUAAAACUCUUUUUAAUUAAUAUUCCAAGAGGCUCAUUUCUUUUAAAUGCAUGUCAUAUAAUUUGCCAAGAAAGAAAAAAUGGCAUAAAAAACUUAACAUAUGCCAAAGCUUAAACAAAUAGACUAUGUGAUUAAAAGGAACCGGUGAUAUAUAAUUGCUUUGAAAUCCCUGUGAAAGCUUCACUGUUAGGUUGAUUAGUUCUCACUUAGUUGACAUAAUUUAAAGAAAACAAAAUCAGUUUCAAGGUUUAUGAAUUUCAGUUUGACCACAAUCAAACCGUAUAACAAAAAUCUAAUGAGACAACAAUAUUUUAAACAAGAAAAAAAUUCAUGUUAUUAUCACUCACAAUAGAUGUAACAGUACUCACUAGAAACUAGAAAAUAUAUGAUUAACAUUGAUUCUAGAGACAUUCAACAUCGGUUUUGAAUCGAUGUUGGAAUUAUCAUUGUUAAAAGUAUGUCAUGUUUUACAUUAAUUAUAAAAUUGAUGGUCAAAAUCACUUCCAAAAUUAAUGUGAUAUAGUAGCAAAAAUUAUCAGUUUUAAUCAAAACUAAUAUUGUAAGUACUAUAAAAUAUUGAUUUUGUUAAAACCGAUGUUGCAUAAUGCAUACAUCAUUAGUUUUGACAGAACCAAUGUUUUAUACUACUUACAACAUUAAUUUUUGAUAAAAUUGAUGUUGUUUUUGUUAUUAUACCACAUUAAUUUUGAUUAAAAUUGAUAUUGUACAAUAUCAUUUUAGAUAUAAUUGAUGUUGAUUUUGCAAAAAAAUAAAUAUAUUUUAUCUAUUUGUUAAAUAAAAUCAAACCUGUAAAUUAAAAACAAAAUCAAUCUAAACAUAUAAUAUAUAUAUAUAUAUAUAUAUAUUAAAUAAAGAAAUACUUAAAGAUAUCAAACAAUGAUCUCAAUACAUAAAUAUCUUCCAUAAGCUAUGUUAAACAAUGAUUUUUGGACCUCUAGUAAAGUACAUUUAAAAAAAUUUCCUCUUUUUUUUACUACAUUAAAAAAUGCUUCAAAACAUACCAUCGAAGUUAAUAAAAGAUAAAUAUAACUCAGAAUAUAAUUCCAAAUAUAAAAUAUUUUAUUCUCUUUUUUUUACUACAUUCUCUUUUUUGUUUUUCCGUUCAUGAAUCUUGUCAAACAGGUAUAGUGUUUUUCUCUGUAAUGAAAGAGACAAAUAUAACUCCAAAUAUAACUCAGAAUAGACAUAAGAUAAAAGAUGACUUGUGAGACUUACCUCAUGAGUAUCCCUUUAGAGACAGCUUCAAAUAUAACUCCAGUAUAAUAGUCAAGACCUCGGGUCAGACAUAAGUCAAAAACCACGUUAUCAAGGCGUUUUUGAUUUAUCCAUAAGUUUAAAUAAAAUUUAUAGGUCAUUCAAUGCAUCAACGGAUCCAUCAUCUUUUAAGAAAGCACUGCCUUCUUUAAAUUUAGACAACAAUGCUAGAGGAGGUCCUUUUUCUUUGAUAUAAGUUUCAAUUUUGUCAGCAAUCUCAGCAAUUAAUCCUUUCUCUUCCACCUACUGCAUGACAGUACAAAAACACAUCAUUAAACAUAACAUAUAUAUCAUGAUUACAAGACAACAACUUUCCAAUAUUACAGUAAUAGGGAAUAUUAUUGUCUCAAAUUUUAAUUGGUCAUACACAUAGAAAGAAACAAAAUCAUAAGUCUCAAAGACCUAAGGCAAUGAAUGUAGUGGAAUAUGCUUGAACAGUUUUACGAACAUUUAAAUCAUGAAAUGCAAUUUCUUUUUUAUUUUAUUAAACAAUGUCUAAGUUUUGAAGCACCAAGUCUAAUCUAAUGUUAUUAAAUAAAAUAAUCCUUUGCAUUGAAGCACCAGAUCUUACCUCAUACAAACAAAUGAAUUAUAAGAAAGAAAGUCACAAUGGUGUCCUAGAAACCAUUAGAAUGAUAUGAAGAGUUCCUCAUUCUAACAGCAAGGAGUCCAACGAAUAAUUUAAAGGCAAUAAUUACAUAGAACUUCACAAAAAUAUAAAUGUACAAGCAUCUUUCUUGGAUGCCAAUAAAUGAUAAAACACAACUUACACUAGUUUCUACAGUACAUAGAACAUUUUGCAGCCUCAGAUAACUGCAUCAAGACAAAUGAUAUAAGGUGCAAAAUAAUUGGUCAAGAUAAAAUGCAGAAAUAUAUAACAUAUUUACUAGCAUGGUUAUAGUCAUCACUCAACACAUUGUUACUAUAGACCAAAGACAACAUUAAACUUUGAACUAAUGAAAACAGUGGUAAAAAAUAGUUCAUUUGGUCAUCUAGGCAGGGCAGAAAAGAGACACACUUCCUCAGAAAACCUGAGGGAAGUAAGCCUGAUGAUGUGGCUAAUGGGACCAGAUCCUGUAAUUUCAGAUAACAUGCCAAUUUACUUUGGCUUAAAAUACCCAGUAGCCAAUGGUAUCUAAUAUAAAGGAGUAUGAUACUUUACUAACACCAUCUGAACUUAAAAUUACCUAGCAAUCCAAGAAAAUGCCCUAAAAAUAGAAUUUGAAUUUCUCAGUUGUGUGCGACUUGCAAUCCUGAAGUCAAAGCUCCCUUUAUCUUGUAAUUUCCAAGAUCUUUAUUCCUAGCCACAUCUGUUUUGGACUAAAACUACUGAUUUUCCUAGCCAUAAUAUUCAUAAAUAUACCAAAAGUGAAAAAUCAUUGUGAUUAGUGGCAAUCCCUACAAAAUUUUCUUGUGCAUGAUAUGCUUAACCGAAGCACUGGCUCUGGCAAAUAUUAGUUAGUUGAAAUUCAUGUAACUUAAAUUUAUGAAAAUAAUCAUUAGAAAAAAAAAAACCGUCUCUAGAUCUUCCUUUGCUUGUUCACGAUCACAGUACUCGGCCCAUUCUCAUACGCAUAUGCGUUGUUUUUUUUUUCCAUAUAAGAGGCAACCUUAUAAGGUUAAUUGUAGUCUAUACUUAUCACCUGCUACUUUGCCACCAAUAUUUCCAGUAGUUUUGCUAAGCUGAUGACCACCUACACAUGAUAAGGAAGAAAAAUAACAUGCAAUAACCUGAAAAUGUUAUGUCCUAGUAUUCGAGAACUAGGAAGAACUCCAGAAGAGGGAUUAGAGGAGAGGAAAUUUCUGUUUUAUUGCUUGCAUUUCAUUACAAUGACUAUCAUAUUUAUAAGCACUGAAAUGCUAAUUCUGUUAUUGCAUUUCCUCUACAGGUCCUAAGGUGCACAAAAAGCAAAAUAACAGAAUGGUAGUGAAGCAUGAUUCCUAGCCAGCAACAAGAUCUCCUUCGACCAAUGAGAGGCUACCAGCUCAGCGUUUGUUGUUGGCACGGGUCACGUAGUCCUCCAGGUAGUGUGGCUUGCAUAUUCUCCUUUUGUUUCUUGUCUGCUCCUUGUCUGCUACUAAUUCCCCUGUGUUGGUUUGCCCUUUGCUGAGUUGAUUUAUAACAUAAAAACAAUAAAAAGUUCUUUGUCUCGCAAUAAACACCUGAAAUAUAGAAAGGCAUAGACAAAGAUUCAGUCAUAUCAUCACAACAUGGACCGUAAAUUUUGUUUGGAGAUAAGCUACUACCUAGAGGAAGAUGCCAGAUUGAACAAAUGAUUCAUCAAAUUCUUGGCUUCAAGAACGGAAUGCACUUGGUUCCAACGUCCCUUGCCACUGAAAACCCAUUCCGGCUCUUCUGCCUUUGGUAAAUGAGAUGCCAUUGACAUGUCUACGACGGGUAGGGGCAAACGUCGUCGUUCUCAUGCCCUUAAAUACGAACAUGCCACCAGUUCACCUUCUACGGCGGUUCUGUGAAAUCGUCGUAGAAUUCUUGACGUAGAAAGCUGCUUUUAUAGUAGUGACAGCAAUGUUAUAGAAGAAGUAGCAAUUAUUUUUUCAAGGGCAAAUAUCCUUGAAUUUCUUGCACCCAAAGACAUUGAUGCGAGGCCAGCACUAGAUUAGCAAUUAGGCAAGAAGAUGUUGUUAAUUAUAUAUUUCCAAAUACAAGGUUAUAAUUGAAUCUAAAGAAGAAAAAUUGUCCAUCAUGACUCUAAAGGGAAAGAAAAACAAAACACAACUUUCUGCUUCAAACUGAGUAUUAGAAGUUCCAUUAGUAGGAUCGUUUCACCUUAUGAGAUUUAAUUCUCUGGAUCUCAUCCUGUAGUCGUUUUGCAGCCUCGUCACUUUUGGUUUUGUCUCAAUAGUGGAGACUGAGAUUCUUGUUUCUAAAGAAGUGUUAUCAAUCAAGAAAACAAAAAUAAUAUUUGCAUUUCAAUUUUUUUUUAUCAUGUUCAUACUUAUAGAAAAAAUAGAAAAAAAAAGCAUAUUUUUUAUCUUACCAUCUAAAAUUAUAAAAUAAUGAAUAUUUUUUUUAUUGUAUAAAUAUAUCGUUACUAAAUAUAUACAAUGUAUAUUUUAUUUUAUAUUAAAGAAAUUUUACUUUUGACACAUACAUAUAUAUAUAUAUAUAUAUAUAUAUAUAUAUAUAUAUAUAUAUAUAUUCCAUAAGAAUCAAAGACAAGUACUUAAAAUUAUACUCACUGAUAUAGUUACACAUAUACAUACAUGAAUUUUAAAUUUAGAAUUUAAUUAAUUAAAAUCUCUCUAAUAUAUUUCCAUUGUUAAAGAAAAAGUGUUUUAUAUAAGAGCAAUAUAUCAACAAACUUAUAGGUUCUUACCACAAGCAUAUAACGAAAUAAGAAUCAAACCGUCAUUAAUGGUGCAUUACUGAAUCACAAGGUUUAAAAACCUUAUUCAUGACUACACACAAAAGACGGGAGUCAAGUAGUCAUGUGUUUACACAUCAAGAGAGACAUACUCAUCCAAGGAAAUUAAACAGUAGAAUAAAAUAAAGUAAAAUAACAUGUUAAGAAUAUCAUGCAAUUAAAAUAGAAACUCAUGCCCUCAAUGUCACGUCCUAUUAGAGCAUUGUAUCUUGACGUCCUCCUGCACAAGAUUUCUUAAGGCAAUCCACCUAAUCAUCUUCUCCCACGAACACAAAGUUCAAGAUUAUCACAGGAUACAAACACAAACAACACACAGGGAGUGAGUUAUCGCAUUCUUAAACAUGUAGAGAUAACUGAAAACACAUAUAUACAUAUAAUAUAAGUAUAAGAAGCUUAACUUAACACAAUUCGCAUCAUUUUACCACUCAUUAUAUAACGUCACUUGUCCCCAAGGAUUUAAUCACAAAUCACAUUCCACACUUUCACAUUAAUCACGUGUUUAGAACGACACAUCUCUAGUACAACACAACAUCUCAAACUCACAUAAUUCAUUGCCCACCAUUACGUAACAAGUCAUAAUGAUCAUUACAUAAGCUUUAUGCAACAUAUACACUAAGACUUAAUCAUAUAUGCAAUGUGAUAUCAUGUCAGUGAAAAACAACAGCAAGGUGCCUAGAAGUACAUAACAAAAGACACCACACAAUGAGUAUGUCAAGUAACUCUCACUAAGUGAAAUCAUAAGGUGACCAGUCAAGGUCCCUCUAUUUUGCGAGAAUGCUCCAACCAUAUAAGAUUAAUAUAGGCUUAAAGAAGCACUCAAAUCGAGUGUAUUUACCCCCAAGGCUUAGUGAUAACUGCUAAAUAUGAGUUAUUUUGAUAAUAAAAAUAUAUUGAAAAUAUCUUUAAAAAUAUUUAUUUAACAGUUAUCUUUGGCUUAAAUAUUAAGAUUUGAUAUUUUUGUUAUUUAUGACUUGCAGAUAUGAAAAGGAGAGAUUAAAAGAGAAAAAGAUUGAGAAAAUAUCCAAAAUAUCAGGAAGUCUCAAGGAGAUAUGAUUAAAAGCAAAACAAAUCAAAAAAAUAUCAUUAGGAAGAUUUUUAACAUUAGGCCCAAGUCCACUCCAACAACUAUAAAAAGAGAGUCAAGCCAAGGAGGAGAAACACAACACCACAUAACCCCAUCCCCUAGGGGUUUCAUUUACUCCCUUUCUUUCUUUACCCCUCUUAUCCAAUCAGUCCUUAUACCUCAUCCAUUUUAAAACCCCCUCAAUGGCCAUAAGUGGCUAAACCUCUAAUUAGGGCCUUGCAGGCCUAAAAGCCAAGCGAUGUAUGAUGUAUUCAUUAUUUAUCAAUGCAAAUGUGUUUUCUAUUCUAUUAUCUUUUCUGUUUUUAUCUUGCAUUAUUCAUCUUUAAUUAUGUUAGGGAUUAGACGCUCAGGAGAGGGUAACUUCUAAGUAAGAUUUAAAGAAGAUAUGCAUGUAUUGGUUUUAGGGGUUAGACGCUCGGAAGAGGAUAACUUCUAAUAGAACAAAAAUAAAGGAUUUUAUAAGAAAAUCAUUGCUAGGAAUAUAAUGAUAAUUUUAUGCCUAUGCAUUCUUGCAAACAUCUAGAAUUCAUACUUCAUAUACUUUAUUUGUUGAGUCUUUGCAAAGGAAUUUAGAAGAUAGAUAAAUAAAAUAGGCUUGUCAUUAUAAGGAAUCAGAGGCAAGUAAUUGAACAGAUGUAUGUAGAAUAGAAUUACCUAAAUUGAUAAAGAAAAAGAAAAAUCAUAAACUCAUACAUCCUAGGCAAACAAGGUAGGUCAGGUCCUAACCUUAUCAAAAUUUGAUUUGAUUUUAUUUUUAUCUUUUACUUUUCUUAUCUUAUCUUUUAUCUUUUAUUUUCUUUUAUUUUUAUCAUCUCUUAAUUUAAAUAUUUUAUCUUCUCUAUCUUCUAUUUUUAUCUUUAAAUCUUUUAUCCUUUCUUUUAAAUCUUUAUCUUAUCUAAUAUACUUCUUUAUCUUUAUUUUAAAUUCUUUAUCAAUUGCUUUUAACUUGGGUUUGCAUUAAUCUAAGUACAAAUAAAGUUCCUGUGGAUUCGACACUCGGACUUCCGAGUACUUUACUACUUGUGACAAUUUGGUACACUUGCCAACAUGUUAACACUUAGACUCCAAAGAAUUCAUUAGGAUCUUACCUUUCUGAUUCAGAUCCAACCCCUAAAAUAACUUUUGCAUACAAAUACUACUCGUGAAUUAUGCAAUACCCACGGUCUUACACUUAUUUUUAAAACACAUUUAACCCAAUGCAUUACAAUUUAACUCCUCAGGUUCUUAACUUGGAACCGUACACUCUUCCUUUAACACUUCUCGCAUUGCACUACAAUUUAACAUCUCAAGUUCCUAACUUGAAAUCCCUAUACUUUUCUUUUAAUACCAUUCACAUUGCGCUACAAUUUAACAUAUCAAGUUCUUAACUUGGAACUCUACACUUUCCUUUUAAAACCUUGCGCAUAAAUAUUUUUCUAAGGUAAACACCAAUUAGGUGAUUGUAUAAUACACAACUCAAAACACAACUAAUAUCAUAUCAAGUAUUAAUCACACACUUAUUCACAAGCUAAUAGACCAAUUGUGUUAUAAAAUAAUUAAUGUCACUAUAUAUAACACGAAAAUUUAUAAUGUAUAUUUAAUGCAUAUAUAAAUUUAAAUAAUAAAUUUAGUGACAAUUAAAUUUGAUCUAAUAAUUAAUUUAUUUACAUAUAUGAAUUAUUAUAAAUGAAACCUAUGAUUUUUAUUUAAAAUUUAUAUAUAUAUAUAUAUAUAUAUAUAUAUAUAUAUUUAUGUUAAUUUACAUGUGCAUUAAAUAUACAUUAAAAUUUUAUAUAUGUUAAUAAUGUAUUUUUUACAUAUAUAAAAUUUUAUUAAACCUACGAUUUUUAUUUACAAUUUAUAUAUGUAAAUAAAUUAAUUAUUAGAUCAAAAUUAAUUGUCAUAAAAUUUAUUAUGUAAAUUUACAUGUGCAUUAAAUAUACAUUAAAAGUUUUAGUGUUAUAUAUAACGACAUUAAUUAUUUUAUAACAUAAUUGACUUAUUAGCUCAAUUGAUUAUCAAUUGGUUAGAGCGUCUUGCUAAUAAUGUGAAAGUCACAAGUUCAAUUUCUGCCUAGACAAUUAAUUUUAAAUUAAUUCGUAAAAUAUAUCCUUUAAAAAAUUAAUAAAAAAUUGUAUAAACCAUUUACGGAUUAGGAAAUCCAUAAGCCAAUUACGGAUCUAUAAUUGAUUUAUGAAUUGUGAAUCCGUAAACCAAUUACAGAAAGACAAUAUGAGAAUUACAUAUAUUAUGCUGGGUGUACCAGAAAAACAAAUGGUGCACGUAGCAAUUCUGAAACCAAUAAUGUUUUGUGUUGGACUUUUAUGGACUUUCUUAUAUUUAGGGUUUUUUAAUUGUAAUCCAUAGCCCUAGUAUAUCAACACGCUUUCGUAUGAACUAGGGUUAUCAGAAAUUAAAUGUAGAAGCAGUUUUCUUUAAGCUUUCCUUUAUCGUCCCCUUGCAAUUUAUCUUUCUUAGUCUAGUUAGCAGCAGAGUCUAUCAAUCUAAAUGUGAAAUGCUAUUCAGUUAUCUAAGACUGGACCACUUUAGAAGAUAAGAACGAAACAUCGUAGUUCUAAAAAUGCAUUAUUAUGGCGUCAUAUUUAAAGGUGAUUCUCACAAAAUGUUUCUCAUGCUGGUGUUGGUGAGCAUAACACAUUUUUCUAGAACAAAUGAUAUCUAGGCAAUUCUAUCAUGAGCAUAAUGCUUUACGUAAAACAUCCAAUCAAAAACUCAAGAUAAAAUUGAAAUAAUUUCAGUUCAAGUUUCCUUAUAAGUAGUUCAUGCAUUUUCCUUUUCUUUGCUGACUUGUCGUUAAUUUUUAAUUAAUUGAAGGAAAGGGAACAAUUGAUUUGAAUUAUUAUAUUUUCUGAAACAAAAAAUAAUACUAUAUUUGUUUCCUUUAUUUUAAUAGGAAAAAAAAUAAAGCUUACACAUGUUAUCAUUAAUUUGGUUAAGGUAUCUAAAGUUCAGAAACCCAAAAAAACUAAAAUAAAAUGACCUACAAUAUAUAUAAAAAAAAGAUACAGUACAAAAAUAGGAAAGAACAAUUAAAACUCAAGCAUGUUUAUUAAGUUCAAUCUUUCAGCUAUAUAUAAGUGACAAUGUAGAGCUAAUCCAUUGAAGAUGAGCUUGACAUUACCAGCUCAUUGGCAACCUGCUCCAUGGUAGGGCGAGAUCGUGGACUUUCAGUCAAGCAGGCCAUUGCUAUCUUUGCAAUUGAUGCCACUUCCUUACCAAUUGGCUUUGUUGGAUGAGGGAGACGUUGGUCCAACUUAUCCAUCAAUGCCAUGAGAUCGAGUGUUGAGGCCACAAGAGUAGAUGGAGAUGAUCCCAAUAAAGAAGAUAUAACAUCACCAGGGUGCUUCCCAAAAAGUAUUUCCCAUGCUAGGACCCCAAAACUAUACACGUCACAUUUCUCAUUAACCUCCAUUGUGUAUGCAAGUUCUGUAACAAAAUAAAAGUGCUAUCAUACGCAAAAUAAGAUUCUAGUGACAAAGGCAAAAUGUGGACAAUUGUGACUAAGAAAGGCAAACUAAAAAAUAUGAUAUCCUCAAUUUAGUAUAAAGAAAGGUAAUUAACCUGGAGCAGCAUAUCCAAAGGUUCCUACGAAUGAGGUCCAAUUGGAUGAAUCUGGAUUAAGAAACUUGGCCGUUCCAAAGUCUGAGACAUGAGCUACAUAUUCGGAAUCCAAAAGAACAUUCUUGCUUGAUAUAUCACGAUGAACAAUUCGAGGUGAGCAUUCAUGGUGCAUAUAGCACAAAGCAUUUGCUACAUCUUUAACAACAUUCACCCUCUUAUACCAAUCAAAUGCCAUUGCUUGCCCAUCAUCCUUCAGAGUCUUCUCAACACUGCCAUUCUCCAGGAAUUCACACACCAAAAAUGAGAAUUGUGAAUGUGAACAAAACCCAAAUAACUUUACAAUGUUACGAUGUCGAAUUUCUGUCAAAGCUUGGAUCUCACAUGUGAAAGCUUUCAGAUUGAGCAUCUCUCCAUUUGGAACAGAAUGGAGUUUCUUCACAGCAACAACUUGACCUGUAGGCAGCACUGCUUUGUAAACACAUCCUUGCCCUCCAACACCAAUGAGAUGUUUGUCGUCAAAAUUUUCUGUGGCUUCAAUAAUAUUCUGGAAUACCAUUUUGCCAUCAAAACUCCAUAUUGCAAAUAUGUUAGGAGUUUGUAUACUUGUAGCCUGGUCUUCUUUGUUCGUUGAGGUUUGGCAUAAAUGAUACGAGACUCCGAAAGCAAAUAAUGCCAGUAUUAGAAUGCCCAAAGUAAGGGGUAAAAUUACUAUCAUAUGAUUAUGAGAUUUCCCACUUGAUGUUGAGCAAGGCUCCAAGCCAGUGACAUUGCCACACAAGCCUUUAUUAUUUCUCAAUGCUUCAAUUUUAGCAUUGUGGAAGGCUAGAAUGUUUGGAAGUGGACCCUCAAACUGGUUGUAUGAUAUAUCAAUAGAUGUCAAGCUCGUCAUAUCAUCGAAGCUAGAGACAUCACCUGAAAGAUUAUUGUGAGAGAGAUUCAGUGUUUCUAAGUUUUUUAAUUCUCCAAACAUUGAAGGUAUUGUUCCUCUCAAAGAAUUUCCACCAAGAUCAAGACUUGUAAGAAAUUUCAGUUUGCCAAGCUCUGAAGGAAUAUUUCCCUGAAAAUUAUUUUGGCUCAGACUCAUGUUCAAUAAAUUGAGCAAAUUUCCUAGUUGUUUUGGGAUUAAGCCAGACAACUUAUUUGAUCCAAGCUUCAAAAUUUGAAGUUUUUGCAUUGAUGCUAUUUCUUUGGGAACAUUUCCUGUAAGAUUAUUGUUGUCGAGUGAGAGAUCAAACAAGGGCAAGUUACAUAAAUCAUGUGGAAUGUUUCCUGUAAGAUGGUUUGAGAACAGGUGAAGUCGUUGUAAUUUGGUUGCCCCAGCUAGUUCUGGUGGUAUCACACCUGAUAAAUUAUUGUUGGAGAUCAUGAGGCUUGUGAGGCUACGAAACUUUCCCCAGUUAGGUGAAAGUUGACCAUAAAAGUUAUUGUCACUCAAUUCGAUGUAGUCCAAAUUUGGAAGUACACCAAAAGCAUCUGUUAUAUCCCCAGUUAGCUGGUUUCGCUGAAGCCGGACUCUUAUAAGGCUGGAGCAAUUCUUGAAACUCACUGGAAUUGGGCCUGUGAAGUUGUUAUUUUCAGCAGAAAUUUUUUUCAACUUUCCACCAAUGCAAAUGUUUUGAGGUAAAUGGCCUAUAAAAUUAUUGUCAGCUAGCUGCAAACUAUUCAGAGCAGUAAGCAUGCUCAUUUCUAUUGGAAUCUUGCCACCAAGUUCAUUUCCAAUAAAUACUAAUUUCCUGACAUUUGAUAAAUUUCUAAUAGUUGAAGGAAUUGAUCCAGUGAGUUCAUUAAAGGAUAUAGAUAAUACAUUAAGCUUUGACAAAUUUCCAAUGAUGAAAGGAAUAGAUCCAGAGAGUUUAUUUUCAUCAAGGAACAAGGAGUCCAAAUGGACCAAGUUGCCUGUGGAAGCUGGGAUUGGUCCAGUGAGUUCAUUCAAGGAUACAGAUAAUACACUAAGCUUUGACAAAUUUCCAAUGGUGAAAGGAAUGGAUCCAGAGAGUUUAUUUUCAUGAAGGUCCAUGAAGUCCAAAUUGACCAAGUUGCCUAUGGAAGCUGGGAUUGGUCCAGUGAGUUCAUUCAAGAAUAUAUAUAAUUCACUAAGCUUUGACAAAUUUCCAAUGGUGAAAGGAAUGGACCCAGAGAGUUUAUUUUUAAAAAGGUGCAUGGAGUCCAAAUUGACCAAGUUGCCUAUGGAAGCUGGGAUUGGUCUAGUGAGUUCAUUCAAGGAUAUAUAUAAUCCACUAAGCUUUGACAAAUUUCCAAUGGUGAAAGGAAUGGACCCAGAGAGUUUAUUUUCUUCAAGGAACAAGGAGUCCAAAUGGACCAAGUUGCCUAUGGAAGCUGGGAUUGGUCCAAUGAGUUCAUUAAAGGAUAUAGAUAAUACACUAAGCUUUGAUAAAUUUCCAAUGGUGAAAGGAAUGGACCCAGAGAGUUUAUUUAGAUCAAGGAGCAUAAAGUCCAAAUUGACCAAGUUGCCUAUGGAAGCUGGGAUUGGUCCAGUGAGUUCAUUCAAGGAUAUAUAUAAUACACUAAGCUUUGAUAAAUUUCCAAUGGUGAAAGGUAUGGACCCAGAGAGUUUAUUUUCAUGAAGGUGCAUGGAGUCCAAAUUGACCAAGUUGCUUAUGGAAACUGGGAUUGGUCCAGUGAGUUCAUUAAAGGAUAUAGAUAAUACAUUAAGCUUUGACAAAUUUCCAAUGGUGAAAGGAAUGAUACCAGAGAGAUCAUUGUAAGAAAGAUUAAGAAACAAGAGUUUGGAGAGAUUACCAAUGGUAUUGGGAAUGCUACCAAAGAGAUUAUUAGUGGACAAGUCAAGAGUGUUGAGAUUGGAUAAGGAACCAAUUUGAGGAGGAAUAGUUCCAUUCAAGGAAUUGUGACUCAUAUUUAGAGUGAGAAUGUUUGGAAGUAAUGAGAAGUUGAGACUUUGAAGCGUACCUCUUAAUCCAACAUUUGUAAGAUUUAUGUUGGAAACAGAAUUGAACUCAUCACAUGCAAUUCCGAGCCAAAUGCAAGGAUUAUUGCCACUCCAUGAAGAGAGAGAAGCAUGACUUUGGUUGUCAAGGCUGGAUUUCCACUUCAACAAAGCAUUUGCUUCUGAAGCAAUCUCAGAAGAAGCAGCAAAUGCACAGAAGUACAUCACAAGAAGCAGCAAAAGUGGUUGGAGCUUCAUGGACAGAAGCGUUGGAAUUAUGAACACCAUGAGGAAAUUUUGAGGAAGGAUUCAAUCACAGAUUGUCUGAUACAAUCAAAUGCUGGAGAAGUACUUACAAGCAAUUCAUGCGAUAUGCACACUUAUAUGCAAAACAUCGUGAACCACGAACCAGAGUCAAGAGAUAUUAUAUAACUAAUUUAUGGGAUAUUAUCCUUGAGAAACUUUAAAUAAAAUAUUUAUAACUAAUUUUUAUUUCUAAUGAACAUAAUAGGACCUUUUUCAGGGCAACAUAAUAGAACUUUAAAUUAAAUAUAAUUAUUAUUUUCUGGCAUUGUGAUUAUGGGAUCUUAAUAAUAAGCUUUAUAUAUUAUAUGUCUUAAAAAAUAAUUGCUGCUAAAAAAAAUAUAUAAGUUUUAUAAAAAAAUUAAUGUAAUAAAGUUAUGUAUUAUUAAAUAUAUAAUUUAGAAAAAAAAUAUUAAUUUGUUGCAGUCCCUUAUACAUUUUAAUUAUAUUAAAUCAUUUAAAUGUUAUAAUAUUGAAAACUAAUUAGGAUGAAGACCGAAGAGAAGCGACAAAUUCAUAAUAUGGAAAUAAUUAAAGUGAGAAAGACAAUAUCAAACAAGACAGCCGAUCAGUGGGAUCAAUAUAAGUCUGUAUGGGUAAAUUUCAAUACUGUUUCUGUUGGCAAGCAGAAAUUUCCAUAGUGUUAUGCAUGGGUAAAUUUCAAACUUCCACAUAACCAUUUCUGUAACACUAUUUUUUUAACAACUGUUUUAAUUAGAAUAUAAAAGAAAUUUAAUUUAAUUUAUGCUAUAAAUCAUUGAAUUUUAAAAAUAUAAUAAGUUUAAUUAUGUGUUUUAGAUGAGCUUAGUUGUUUCUUUUCUAGAUGAGUAUAAUUAAGAGUUACACUUUUGAUACAAGGGGAGGGGAGUUACUAUAUAUUUCAUGUAAAUUGUUAUCGGUUCCAAGUUAUCAAGAGGUUGAGAGUUUUUUUAUUUAUUUUAGAAUUACUCUCGUUGAAUAAAAUAUACAUGAUGAUUGCAUUAUGCAUUGUUUUCACACCAUUUUAUUGCAACGGAUAUGUUGCACAAUAAUUUUUAUAUGCCUAUUAUGAUUAUGAAGUCCUUGGGAUCCAUCAUCUUUUUGAAUUUUACUAAUAAAAAAAAUACGACUUCACACUAUCAUUAUCUCAACACCAAUCAAGAAAUUCAUAAAAUAUUAUAAAAAUAUAAUAAUAAUAUUUAUUUAUAUUUGAUGAUAUUUUUUAAAUGUUACCAAAAAAAUUUAGUAAUAUUUUACUAAAUGUUAAAUAAAAAAUAUUACUAACUUUCACUGUGUAGUAGUGAAUUAUAUUUUAGAUUAUUAUAAUUAACGGUAUAACUUAUACAAUUAAUUAUUAUGAUUAUAAAUAAAUAUUAUAUGUUUAAAAUAUAUUUUAAUUAUUAUUUUAGCAAAUUAGUAUUCUAAAAGAAUAAUUACAAAUGAUAUACGUAUAUAUAAGUAAAAUCAAAUUAAAUACAAAUAUUAAGGUAGUAUUUAGUUAGUGUUAUUAAUCAUAAUUAUAUAAAUAUUUAAAUAAUCUAGUAUUUUUCUAAUAUUAUAUUUGUUAAAAAUCAUACAUGAUAAAUUUUAAUAACAUUAUUAAAUAUAAUAUGUUGAUUGAAUUUAAUAAAUGUAAUGCUAAUAUAUGGAUAUUAGACAUUCAAAUUUUUGAAUGAUUUUAUUUAUAUAAAAAUUAUUAUUAAAUAAAAUGAAAUCACUAAAAUAUACAUUUUAAAAUCUUAUAAAGAAUAUUUUUUUAGUAAGUUGCGUUAAUCCUAAACGUUUAUAUCUAGGAGAAUGAUUUAUUUAAUAGAAAAAUUCAUAUUUAAUUUGUUUCGUGUGUAAAUUUUUUUAUUUCAAUGACAAACACCAAUAAUAAAUAAAACUAGUCUCGGACAGAAUAGGUAGAGGAAAUCCGUGUUCUUUGAACGGAUAAAAAUAGUAUAUUAAAUUAUAUAUUUUAUCAUAAGGAAUGAGCAGCAAAAGUGCAAUACUUCCGAUCUAUUAAAAGAGAAAAGUAUAAUGGAUAUGUUGGGAUGCAGUUCAAAAAGAUGUUUUAUUAUUUUAUCGACUGGAAAAAUAUCUUUUUUAUUUUUUAAGAGUUUUUAGUUAUUAAUUUUUUUUUUAACUUUUAUAAAGUAAAAGUUGCCAACAGAUUUUUUUUUUUAAGUUUACAUUUUCAGCUUGUGAAAUUUUCUUUGGGAAUGUGUUCCUUAAAUAAUGAUUGGAUAAUUAUGUUCUCAAAAAAUUUUAAAAUAACAAAAAAUAUUUUUCUCAUUUUUUAAACCUUCAAAAUUUUUCUCUCUUAUUCCUCUGAACGUGCCGUGCCUUCCUCAAAAUUUCUGUGUAUAGUGUAAUAUUUACAUAAGAAGAAAGAAUGAAGUAUAAUACCUGCCUUUCUAAAGGGAAAGAUACAAAAAAAAAAAAAAAAAAAGACAACAAAGAAAGACUACGAACGCGGAUAUAAGAAAAGCCAAGCAUGUGCACUGCAUCCAGGACCAGCCCUAAUAAGUAAUAACCCUUAGGGAGGGUUACAUGAUCACAAUUUGAUUUGAUAUACUUCAAGAUUAACGACUCAAAUGAAAAUAUCGAAUUUCCUUCCUAUUUUUUAAAAUAUAUAUCAAUGUAUUUACUAUUCAAUAAAAGAAUUAAAAAUGCUAUUAAAACCCUAAAUUUUAUAGAAAUUAAUGUAAAACAGCAAACACGUUAGAGUAAAAUAUCCUUUUUUACUUCAUUAACCCUCUAUCAUCCCGUUUACUUAAAGUACUAAAAGGAAAGGGUUGAAAUUAAUUUAUUAAAAUGACUCAUACAAAUAAUUUUAAUGUUCUACCAUUGCAUUAGAUUUUACUAAAACCCAAUUUAGUCUUUUUAAUUUUUUGUUAUCAUUAUCAAUUAAGUAUUAAAAUAUUUAUUAAUAGCAAUAUUACUAGAAUAAAUUACACUUUCCUCUCUUAAAAAAUGCGAAUAUCACACUAUCAUCUCCUCUUAUAUUAAAAACUUUACUCUCUUUUCCUAACACAUUUUAAUACAUGACACUUUAUUUCUUUUUAAUUUUGCGUUAAAAUUCUGUUUGUUUCCAUUAAAAUAAACUACAUUACUAAAAUAUUCUUUACACUACCACCGCCUCUAAGGUGCAAAUAUUUCACUGCACUCCCUUCUUGUGUUAAAAUACAUACUUCAUCCCUUAGCUAAUGUGCGCAUAUAUAUAUAUAUAUAUAUAUAUAUAUAUAUAUAUAUAUAUAUAUAUAUAUAUAUAUAUAUAUAGAGGAUAUUUCGUUUUUAAAAUGUUUAAUUAAUUUUUUUUAAACAAUUAUAAAAUUUUAAUGUCUGAAUACACACACUUAGUAAAUCAACGCUCUAAAUUCAUAGAAGUGUAAAUAGAUGCGUAAAAGGUGUUUUUAGGUUAUGCUUUAUUUUUAUUUACGAACAGAAACAGUUUUUUGAGAAGUGAAUUACACAAACAAUUGGGUGGUCCGAAUCUGUUAGUAUUUUUAAUCUCUUUUAUUUUUAAUGCAAUAUUAUAUGUUGUUUAAUGAUUAUGUGAUCAUAAUUGGCCAAACUCCUUAGAACCGGAUUCUGAUGUGGUUAUACUCAUUUACUUUAAUUUCUCUUUUUAAUAAAAUUCUUCUAUUCAAUUAAUUGUAUCUUUUCAUUGCUUUCACUUCUAUAUUGAAAUCACUCUGAUUAUUAGUUCAUUAUGUGCUUAUGGUCAUCUUCUCAUAAUUAAUUGACCUAUAGAAUGAAAUGGUUCAUAAAACUUGUAUGAUCAAACUGGUGACAUGAAUUUCUUUUUUUUACAAACUUCUAUAUUAUUUAUCUUUAACCAUAAAUUAAAUUCAAAAUGACUAAUGCAUGAUUAAUUUUGGGGAGAGAGUAUUCUCAGACUUUAACUAUAGGUUGACAAUUAAAAUAAGAGAUAUUAGACUAUUAAUCAAUAACUUAGAGUUCUUAAUUAAAAUAGGAAUUAAGGAAAAACGGUACAUGUGAAAUCAUAAUAUGAGUCACUCUUUUUCAUACAUAUCUUUUCUUCAAAUUGUUGUUUGUUUUUAAUUUUAUUUUCUUGAAUGCAAUACAAAUCAUCCCCAACUUAAGAUAAAAACUUAAAAUUAUUUAUUUUAUCUGAUUUAGAUUAUUUGAAAAUACAACUACACUUUAGGAUAUGAAUUCCAAACUUUCAGUUUAUGGUACACUUAGCAUUAAUAAAUCCAUAUUUUACGCAUUAGUAAUUAAGUAUGUUUUCAUUAUUCCUUUUCAAUUUUAAUUAUUGUUAUUAAGAUCAGAAUGGACCAUUUGAAUCUAUUUUUCUAAGGGAACUACUAUUGGCCCUUACACAUUGCCUUUGGACCCUACUCCCCCCUUCAAAAUACUCAUAUGUCCAUAUUGGGCAUUAACUACUUUUUUUUAAUUAUUAUUCAAUUUGAUCAUCUGUUUUGUGAUAUUCAUUCAUUAUGAUCUUUUCGUUUGACAUCAUUUGUGUCAAUUUAGACAAAGGAGUAAUAUGAGCAUUUUUGUUUUAGAAAUCAAAUUCAACAUUUUAAAAAUAGAUACAUCAUUAUGAAUAAUAUAAAUAAAAAAGAUCAAAAAAAUAAUUUAAACUAAAAAUAAGGAUAAAAAGAAAAAAAAGAAUUGAAAUGAAUGAAAUGGAUCAUGCGUAAAAUUAAACAUGUGAAUAUUUACUUAAAUUACAUUAAUCAACAUUUAAAAUAUCAUAUAUGUUUCUCAUUUAAAAUAAAUUAUUUCUCUUAAAAUUUAUUUUAGAUCUCACAUGUUAUUGGACCGACUCAUAUCUCUAUAUUUUCUACCACGGCAAAGCUAGCUCCAGCCAUUGCCAAAUGAUUUGAAGUCUCACCUCUUAAAUGAAUAGAAACUUUUCGCCAGAAUUAAACUCCACAUACUUUCUGGAAGUCUUUUGUACAGAGUCAAUUUCCAAAAUGGUGAUGUCUAGUUAAAGGCUAAUAGUAGUAUUAUGUAUGCUGUGGAUCCUGUCAUGUAUGUCACAUUCAUUGACUUUGCAUAAAAAAGAGAGAGAGCAAGUUAAUUAACAUUAUUUUACUGUCUUUCAUUAUAUAUUACAUCUGGAGAAUUUGCUGGUGGAUGCUGAUGGAGAGCUUAAAGUAUCAGAUUCUGCAUUGAGUGUUCUGCCUCAACAAUAAUUUGGAUCUUUCAAAUUAUUCCCGCAAGAGGGCUGGACCUAUUUUUUUUAUGAUGUUUCGAUAAAAAAAGAUUAAUUCUCUUCAUAAAAAAGAGGAGGUAGAACCAAUAAAGAGUGAUUAUUCGAUUCAUCCCUUGAAUUGAAUAACUCAUUCAAGAAAUGUUUUUGACCCAAUCCGGAGGAAUCAAUAGAAAAAGUAAAUCCCUUAUGAUACACUAGAUCUGGCUGGGUUAUUGAUAGAGUGAAUAGAUCUGUCAUUUCUUGAUAGAGUGCAAGGACUGAUCUAUUCUAUGGUCUUGUAGUGUUUUUCUUUUUGUUCUAAUGGCUGGUUAUUUGCAUUUCAAUGACAAUAACAUAAAGAAGAGUGGGGUAUUUUAUGAGUAUUCUAGCUCUCUUAAUAUAUGGAGUGGUCUUUUUUCCUAGCAUGAUUGACUGGAUUGAUCUCACAUUAGUUGAUGCAUUCUUAGUCUUUUAUUAUAGACAGGAAAGUCAUGUGGUUGCUUAAGAGUAACACAAAUAUCAAAUUGAAAUAGAUAAAAUCAUAUGAACUUUAAACAGUAAGGAAUUAAUAAUAUAUGAGCAAAGGUCUAAAAUUCAGUUAUUUAAGACCAGAGCACUUUAGAAGAUAAGACCCCAACAUCGUAGUUCUAAAAAUGCAUUAUUAUGACGUCAUAUGUAAAGGUGAUUCUCACAAAAUGUUUCUCAUGGUAGUGUUGGUUGUAACAUCCUAUUUUUCAUAAACUAAUUUAAAAAGGAUUGUUAUUUGUAAAUAAAUAGAGUUUUAUAAAAAAUGAUAAGGUUUUCAUAAUUAAAUAAAUAAGGAGAAAUAACUUUAUUAAUUAAAAUAAUGGUUUAGAGAAAAUAAAAAGGAUAUUUUAUUUAUUCAUUUGAUAGUGAAUAAAAUAGAGUUUAUUUUUAUAAAAUAAUAUAAAUAAAUAAAUAAAUAAAGUAAAUAAUAGGUUGUGAGUACCCUAGUUAUAAAUAGAGAAAUGUUAGGUCAGUUUUCAGACUGACGAUAUCUUUUCAACUUCCUCUUUCUCUUAAUUUUCCCUUCUCUUUCUCACAAAAUUCUCUCUUUUCCCACAUACCACCAAACCUAUAUCAGAAAAACGACGAUUUCAGAUUUCAGACUCAUUCACUGUUUGAUCGUCGUGAAAUUUAAAAACCAGGUUUGCAACUCAAUUCUGAGCAUUCUCACCGUUGGGAAUUACGAAAACAUAUCGAAGCUGAGAGUAAUACCCUUCGCAUUGUAACUUUUCUUUUCCCGCAGAAACCCAGAGCUAUCUCGGUAAAACUAUGAUCCCGAACUUUUUAACCGUUGGGUUGUUGUCUUAUUUUUAUAUGUGGUUCGCGAUUCAUUUAUGCAUGUUUUCACCGUUGGGAUUUACAAAAUAAUAUCUGUUGAGGGAGAAAGAUGCAUCGCAUGUAGGACCAUAGAAUGGAGGCUUCAAUCCCUUUUCUUUCUCUCCAACAUUUGGGAACCCUAACAGAGAAACCGGAGGAGGAGCUCUAGAGAGCACCAGAAACGCCACAAUUGAUAACGAAGAACGCUUGAGCGACUACAUCGAAGUAAAGGAUGAGUUAUUCACAAAUGGGGAUUAGUGAGAACAUGUAUAGGGAUCCUUAGAGUACCAAUUAGAAUGGGUUUUGGGGUGUUUCUGCAAAUUUUAUUUUAUCCUUAUAGUUAUAACUGUGAAUUAUAUAUGUUUGAUGAACCAAUUGAUGUCCCAAUGAAAAACUAUUGUGAAAUUGAUGUAUUCUUGUGUUGAGUGUGAACCCUAUAAAUUGAACCUUUGUCUAAUUAGCGUGAAUUGAUAAAAUUAAGUAAGUAGAGGUUUAGCGUAAGAGGGAGUGAGAUAUUGAUUUUGUAUUUUCUCUUUUUCAUGCUUUUUAGCGUAAGAGGGAGUGAGAUAUUGAUUUUAUAUUCAUGACCCAAUAUGAUGUAUGUUGUUGGUUUUAUAUAUAUAAAUUUAGCUAUAUAUUUAUUUAUAUUAAUAUUUUAUGUAAAUAAUAUUGUAGUGUUGUUAUAGUGUGAUUCCAAAAAUUAUUCAAGUGUUGGAGUUUGAGAAUAUUAUGGUCAGAUUUGAGGUACAUGUGUAUUGAGAUGUGUGUAUUGAGUUGUGAGUUGUGAAUUAUACAAUAGCCCAACCAGUGUUGAUAUUGAGAAAAGUGUUGAUGCGCAGUGUUAAAGAGAAAGUGUAGGUUUCCUAUUUAGGAAUCAGUGUUGAAUUGUAGCACAAUGUGUUAAACGUGUUUGAAACACGAGUGUGAGGUCGUGGAUAUUGUAUAAUUCAUGAGCAAUGUUUAUAAAUGAAAUAUGUGAUGUAUUGUUGAAUAACAUGUUGCUUUGAGAUUAUAAUAUUGUUACUGAGAUUGAGUAUAAGUACAAAGUUGAACAUGUGUUAAUUUGUGAGAUACGUGUAAACAUGUGAUGGUGGAUUGUGACACUAUGAUCUGUGAAAUUGUGAAUGAGUUUUGGCUGUGAAUAAGUGUGUGGUUAACACUUAAUGUGACAUUACUUGUGUUGUAAGUUGUGAAUUGUACAAUAAUCCGACUAGUGUUAUCUUGAGAAAAGUGUUGAUGCACAGUGUUAAAGAGAAAGUGUAAGUUUCUUAUUUAGGAACUAGUGUUAAAGAGAAAGUGUAGGUUUUCUAUUUAGGAACCAGUGUUAAAUUGUAGAGCAAUUGUGUUAAACGUGUUUAAAACAUGAAGGUGAGGUCGUGGGUAUUGUAUAAUUCAUGAGCAGUGUCUGCAUGCAAAAAAUUAUUUUAGGGGUUAGACCUGAAUCGGGAGAGAGAGGCCCUGACGGACUCUUCGGAGUGUAGACCUUGGGAGUCACCCAGUUUGAGUGCUCCUUUAAGCCUGUGCCGAUUCCGCAUGGUUGGAGCAUUUUCGUAAAACAGCGUGACCCUGACUGGUCUCCCUAUGAUUUUACUUAGUGAGAGUGACCUGACAUACCCAUUGUGUGGUGUGUCUUGGUAUGUACUCCUAAGCGCCCUAGGGUGGUUUUUCACUGAUAUGGUAUCAGAUUGCAUAUAGGCUUGAGUCUUAGCAUAACUAUUGCAUACGCUUGCUAAUUAUUUAUUAUGAAAUUGAUGUGUUAUUAUGUCUUGAUCGGAGUGUGUGAUUCUUGUGUAAUGUGAUUGAUGAUUGAAAAGUGUAAUUGAUGAUUGAAAAGUGAAUUUUGAAUGACAAAGUGAUUGAAUUACAUGAGUUAUGUUUAAGUAAGUUUUAUUUUAUUUAUAUGAUAUGUAUAUCUAGUUAUCUUGCUUCUCUAUUAGUUAGGAAUGUGAUAACUCACUCUCCUUGUGUUGUUUGUGUUUGGAUCCUGUGAUGAUCUUGAACUUUGUAUUCGAGGGAACAGAUGACUAGAUGAAUUGCUUUAAGGAACCUUGUACUGAAGGACGUCAGGACACAAUGCUUUGAUAGGAUGUGACAUUGGAGCAUAAUAGUCUAUUUUAUUUUACCUCACUGAUUUAACAAAAUAUUUUUUUAUAAAUUUUGACGGCCUUGUUUUGAGUUGAAUAUAUUUUUAAUAAGUUUUAUUUGGUAAUAGUGAAGUAAAUGUGAACCUUUUACCCAUGUGAAUUUGUUUACCAAUAUUUUAUAUGUUUUAUUUAUUUAUAUAAAUGUCGGGGUAGAGGGUGUCACAUUGGUCAGCAUAACACAUUUUUCUUCUAGAACACAUGAUAUCUACGCAAUUCUAAAAGUAUGAAACAAUUUUAAAUAGACUUUUGAAGAACCUUAUUGUAGAUGUAAUUGCCUUUGAUGUUUUGAUGAUGAUCAUGAUGAUGUGUUGCAAUUGAUGCAAAUGGGCUUUUCAAGAUUAAAUUCAAGACAAUACUUCAAGAUUACAAGUCACAACAUCAACAUGAUCACUAGAAUAUUAGGAAGGGAAUUCCUAAUUGAAUUAGCAAAGGUUUGGCCAAGUGAUUUAAAUUAAAAAAGUGUUUCUCAAAGGUUUUACUCUCUGGUAAUCGAUUACCAGAGGAUGUAAUCGAUUACCAGUGGCCAAAUACGUUUUAUAACAGCUACAAAAAUUUGAAUUCGAAAUUUUAGACUGUGUAAUCGAUUACACAAUUUUGGUAAUCGAUUACCAGCAGUUAGUAAACGUUUUAAUUCAAAUUUUAAAAGCUGUAAUCGAUUACACAAUCACUGUAAUCGAUUACCAGACAGGAUUUUCAGAAAAAUAAUUUCAAGAGUCACAACUUUUCAAAGGCUUUAUUCAUGACCACCAAUGGUCUAUAUAUAUGUGACUUAAACACGAAAUUGCUCAGAGAUUUUCAUAACAACAAGUGUUUAUCCUCUCAAAGAGAAAAUUCAUUUUAUCCUCUUAAGAAUUCCUUGGCCAAUUCAAUUGCAAUUCAUUAAGGAAUUAUUUGAGUGCUCAAUCUGUAAAAUCCAUCUCUUUCUAGAGAGAUUUGUUCUUCUUCUUCUUCUCAUUCUCUAAGGGAUUAAGAGACUGUGAGUCUCUUGUUGUAAAGGAAUUCUAAACACAAAGGAAGGAUUGUCCUUGUGUGUUUAGAACUUGUAAAAGGAAUUUACAAGAUAGUGGAACUCUCAAGCGGGUUGCUUGGGGACUGGACGUAGGCACAAGGGUGUGGCCGAACCAAUAUAAAACUGAGUUUGCAUUUUCUCUUCCCUUAAUCUCCUUUAUUUAUUAUUGCUUUAUAUUCAUAUUCAAAUUGUUUCAUUUGAAUUAAUAUUUAAGAAGAUUGUCAUUAAGGGAAUUCAUAACUUGAGUAAAAAGUGAAAUAGAUUUUUAAUUAGGGGAAAUAGUUUGGAAUAUCUUAAUUCAACCCCCCCUUCUUAAGAUAUCUGAGGCCACUUGUCUAACACUUAUAGUUAAAUACACUUUAACCAAUUUUAAAGAAUAAAAGUAUGAAACAAUAUAUAAACUCAAGAAUGUCAUUCUGUUAGCCUAUUUUAAUUCCAAAUUAUAAUAUUAAUUCCAAACUAUAUAUAAAAAACCCUAAAAAGCAAGAAAAGGGAAAAAAAUACAAAAUCAGAAUUUCAGUCCCUCUUACAGUAAAUAUUUCCUUAUUUAAUUUCAUUAAUUCACACUAAUUAGAAAAAUACUCAGUUUCUAGUAGGGGUGGGAAUAGGCCAGGUCUGAGCCUAGCCUACGAUUAAUUUUUGAGGCCUGAGCCUGGUCUAUAGCCUAUCAAAAGCUUUUAUUUUAGCUCGGUCUGACCUUUUUAAAAGCCUAGCCUGGCCUGGUAGCCUAUUUAAAAGCUUAUUUAAAAAUCUUCUUCACAUUAAAUCUUUAAUAUUUCUAGUUGUUUUUACCAAAAAAAAUAAAUAACACACCUUCUAUAAUAGGCUAAACAAGGCCUUAAUAUAUAAUUUGCCUUAAUUUUUAAUCUAACGUUAAUUUAGUUGGUAGUCCUAAAAAUAUAUUAAUAAUAUAAACAAAAAUCACCAAAUGAUAUAAAUAAUCUAAAACAAAAGAAAACCUCAUACUUAGGUAGUAUCAUCCAAGUCUAUCAAACCAACAUAUUAAUUAUUACAACCAAAAAAUAAAGCCUACAUCUCCAUUCUAUUUGAACAGAACCGGUGCAUAAAAUAUCUACCAAUAAAAUUAAUAGUAACGUCAUUUCAUCAUUAGCUCCUCCAUAUUCACCAUAAGAUAGGAUAUGAUUUUUGUAUAGGAACGUAAUAGGAUAUGAUAGGAUAUGAUUUUUGUAUAGGAACGUAGGAUAUGAUAGGAUAUGAUUUUUAUUUGCUCUAGAAUACAGUAACGUAAUAAAAGAAGAAGGAAAUCUAAUAGGAAUACAAAAAGGAAUUGUUAACAGAAAUAGGAAAACUAAUAAAAAUAAUGAGAAAUAUAAAGAAACUUACACCUUGUAAUUAAAAUUUUACUUAAUUAUAGGAAUGGAAUCUGCUAGUUUUUUUAAAAAAAUAAUAUUAAUUGUACCCAAAAAAUAAUAUAUAUAUAUAUAUAUAUAUAUAUAUAUAUAUAUAUAUAUAUAUAUAUAUAUAGGCCGGCCUAUCAGGCUUAUAAGGCUUUUUAAUAAGUCUAAGUCUGGCCUAUUUAAUUUAAUAGGCUUUUAAAAAAGCCUGAGCCUAGCUUUUUAAUUAAAUAGGCCAGGUCAGGUCAGGCUUUAUGUAGGCCAGGUCGUAGGCUCCUGUAGGCCGGCCUAGCCUAUUCUCACCCCUAGUUUCUAGGAUUCAAACUCAACACAAGAACACAUCAAUUUCAUAGCAAUUUCACAUCGGAACACCAAUUAGUCUGUCAAACAUAUAUAAUUCACAGUUAUAGUUGUAAACAUAGAAUCAAAAUUUCAUAAAAACCCCAAAAUUCAUCUCAAUUGAUCUUCUAAGGAUACUUAUACAUGUUCUCACUACUCCCAAUGGUUAACAAGUCACGGAUGAUAGUUUUACUAGAAAAGGGAAUGAUCUAGAAGGAAGAGAAAGUGUAGAAAUAUCUUAAUAUAAGUACUGACCUAAUAUGUUUCUAUUUAUAACUAAGAUGUUCUGAUUAUAUUAUUUACUCUAUUUUUCUUUAUUUUAUUGUUUUAUAAAAAUGAACUAUAUUUUCUUAUUAUGAAAUGAAUAAAUAUAAUAUUCUUUUUAUUUUCUAAAAACACAUUUAUUUUAUUUACCUUCAAAUCAUUAUUUUAAUUAAUAAAAAUAUUUCUCUUUAUUUAUUAAAUUAAAAAUUUCAAUAUUUUUCUAAAAAUUUAUUUAUUUUUAAAUAAAAUACUUUUUAAUUUAUUUAAAAAAAUGGAAUGUUAAUGUGACUUUUGAGUAGUUAGUACAAGGCUCUACCCAACUAAGCUAAUAGACCAAUUAUGUUAUAAAAUAAUUAAUAUCGUUAUAUAUAACACUAAAAUUUCUAAUGUAUAUUAAAUGCACAUAUAAAUUUAAAUAAUAAAUUUAGUGACAAUUAAUUUUGAUCUAAUAAUUAAUUUUUUUACAUAUAUGAAUUGUAAAUGAAACCUAUAUUUUUAUUUAAAAUUUAUAUAUAUAUACACUAUUAGAUCAAAAUACAUUAGUAGAUUUAUGUUAAUAAUGUAUUUUUUACAUAUAUAAUUUUUUUUAUUAAACCUACGAUUUUUAUUUACAAUUUAUAUAUGUAAACAAAUUAAUUAUUAGAUCAAAAUUAAUUGUCAAAAAUUUCUUAUGUAAAUUUAUAUAUGCAUUAAAUAUACAUGAAAAUUUUUAGUGUUAUCUAUAGCGAAAAUAAUUAUUUUAACAUAAUUGAUUUAUUAGUUCAAUUGGUUAGAGUGUCGUACUAACAAUAUCCGUAAACCAAUUACGGAAAAGCAAUAUGGGAAUUACAAUGUUGUGUUGGAUAUACUAGAAAAACAAAUGGUGCACGUAGCAAUUCCCAAACCAAUAAUGUUUUGUGUUGGACUUUUAUGGACUUUCGUAUAUUUUGGGUUUUUUAAUUGUAAUCCAUAACCCAAAUAUAUCAACACACUUUCGUAGGAACUAGGGUUAUCAGAAAUUAAAUGUAGAAGCGGUUUUCUUUAAGCUUUCCUUUAUCGUCCCCUUGCAAUUUAUCUUUCUUAGUCUAGUUAGCAGCAGAGUCUAUCAAUCUAAAUGUGGAAUGCUAUUCAGUUAUCUAAGACUAGACCACUCUAGAGGAUAAGACCCCAACAUCGUAGUUCUAAAAAUACAUUAUUAUGGGUCAUAUGUAAAGGUGAUUCUCACAAAAUGUUUCUCAUGCUGGUGUUGGGAGCAUAACACAUUUUUCUUCUAGAACACAUGAUAUCUAGGCAAUUCUAUCAUGAGCAUAAUGCUUUACGUAAAACAUCCAAUCAAAAACUCAAGAUAAAAUUUAAAUAAUUUCAGUUCAAGCUUCCUUAUAAGUAGUUCAUGCAUUUUCCUUUACUUUGCUGACUUGUCGUUAAUUUUAAAUUAAUUGAAGGAAAGGGAACAAUUGAUUUGAAUUAUUAUAUUUUCUGAAGUAAAAAAUAACACUAUAUUUGUUUCCUUUAUUUUAAUAGGAAAAAAAUAAAGCUUACAAAUGUUAUCAUUGAUUUGGUUAAGGUAUCUAAAGUUCAGAAACCAAAAAACUAAAAUAAAAUGAUCUACAAUAUAAAAAAAAAAGAUACAAUACAAAAAUAGAAAAGAACAAUUAAAACUCAAGCAUGUUUAUUAAGUUCAAUCUUUCAGCUAUAUAUAAGUGACAAUGUAGAGCUAAUCCAUUGAAGAUGAGCUUGACAUUACCAGCUCAUUGGCAACCUGCUCCAUGGUAGGGCGAGAUCGUGGACUUUCAGUCAAGCAGGCCAUUGCUAUCUUUGCAAUUGAUGCCACUUCCUUACCAAUUGGCUUUGUUGGAUGAGGGAGACGUUGGUCCAACUUAUCCAUCAAUGCCAUGAGAUCGAGUGUUGAGGCCACAAGAGUAGAUGGAGAUGAUCCCAAUAAAGAAGAUAUAACAUCACCAGGGUGCUUCCCAAUAAGUAUUUCCCAUGCUAGGACCCCAAAACUAUACACGUCACAUUUCUCAUUCACCUCCAUUGUGUAUGCAAGUUCUGUAACAAAAUAAAAGUGCUAUCAUACGCAAAAUAGGAUUCUAGUGACAAAGGCAAAAUGUGGACAAUUGUGACUAAGAAAGGCAAACUAAAAAAUAUGAUAUCCUCAAUUUAGUAUAAAGAAAGGUAAUUAACCUGGAGCAGCAUAUCCAAAGGUUCCUACGAAUGAGGUCCAAUUGGAUGAAUCUGGAUUAAGAAACUUGGCUGUUCCAAAAUCUGAGACAUGAGCUACAUAUUCGGAAUCCAAAAGAACAUUCUUGCUUGAUAUAUCACGAUGAACAAUUCGAGGUGAGCAUUCAUGGUGCAUAUAGCACAGAGCAUGUGCUACAUGCUUUAACUACAUUAACCCUCUUAUACCAAUCAAAUGCCAUUGCUUGUCCAUCAUCCUUCAGGGUCUUCCCAACACUGCCAUUCUCCAGGAAUUCACACACCAAAAAUGAGAAUUGUGAAUGUGAACAAAACCCAUAUAACUUUACAAUGUUACGAUGUCG
This 86065-nucleotide long non-coding RNA is filed under the name Glycine max (soybean). Its description in RNAcentral is "long non-coding RNA (GMAX_LNC003639)". The stretch from base 29660 to 29776 matches the Rfam family "MIR1520 microRNA precursor family". The record is from RNAcentral. Lineage: Eukaryota; Viridiplantae; Streptophyta; Magnoliopsida; Fabales; Fabaceae.